AUUGUUGUUAUUGGGAUGGUAUCAAGUGCGAUGCCAAAUCUGGGGAAGUGAUCGAGGUAGACCUCAGUUGCAGCUGUCUCUACGGCAAGUUUCGUUCCAAUUCCAGUCUGUUUAGGCUUCAUAACUUUCGUUUUCUCACCACUUUAGACCUUUUAAAUAAUGAUUUACAUGGUCAAAUCCCGUUCUCAAUUGGAAAUCUUUCUCUUCUCACUUCUCUCAACCUUUCUUUUAAUCGGUUUUUGGGUCAAAUUCCAUCUUCAAUUGGAAAUCUUUCACAGCUCACCUCUCUCAAACUUUCUUCCAAUCAGUUUUCGGGUCAGAUUCCAUCUUCAAUUGGAAAUCUUUCACUUCUUACCUCUCUUGAUCUUUCUUUCAAUCAGUUUUCGGGUCAGAUUCCAUCUUCAAUUGGAAAUCUAUCACUUCUUACCUCUCUCGACCUUUCUCUUAAUCAGUUUUCGGGUCAGAUUCCAUCUUCAAUUGGAAAUCUUUCACAGCUCACCUCUCUCAAUCUUUAUUCCAAUCAGUUUUCGGGUCAGAUUCCAUCUUCAAUUGGAAAUCUUCCACUUCUUACCUCUCUUGAUCUUUCUUCCAAUCAGUUUUCGGGUCAGAUUCCAUCUUCAAUUGGAAAUCUUUCACAGCUCACCUCUCUCUAUCUUUCUUCCAAUCAGUUUUCGGGUCAGAUUCCAUCUUCAAUUGGAAAUCUUUCAUUUCUUACCUCUCUUGAUCUUUCUUCCAAUCAGUUUUCGGGUCAGAUUCCAUCUUCAAUUAAAAAGCUCUCUCAUCUCAAAACUCUUUUCCUCCGUCGUAACAGACUCACUGGUGAAAUCCCAGAUUCUUUUGCCAGUUUGAAAAUUUUGACCAACUUAGAUGUUAGUUACAAUAAGCUUAGUGGUAACUUUCCAAUUUCCCUUCUAAAUUUGACAGAGUUGUCGUAUUUAUCACUCACUUCCAAUCAACUCACAGGAACGCUUCCCUCAAACAUUAGCUCACUCUCCAACUUGGUGAAUUUUUACGCAAGUGACAACGAUUUCGUUGGAACCAUUCCUUCUUCUCUCUUCACCAUUCCUUCUUUGACAAAAAUUUAUUUGUCAAAUAACCAACUCAACGGCACUCUUGAGUUUGGGAAUAUACCUUCACCAGCAAAGCUCGAGGAAUUAAUGCUUGGCGGUAACAACUUGAGAGGGCCAAUCCCGAGAUCCAUUUCCAAAUUAGUCAACCUCUAUUACCUUGACCUUUCCAAUUGGAACACCCAAUUAGGCCCAAUUGACUUGAGUAUCUUCUCGCAUCUCAAGUCACUCCGAAUUCUUGACUUAUCCCAUUUGAACACCACCACUACGAUUGACUUGAAUGCCAUCUUAUCAUGUUCUCAGUUGCUGGAAACAUUGGAUCUCUCAGGCAACCAUGUUUCAGCCGAAAACAAGAGCUCAGUUUCAGAUCCUCCUUCGCAAAUGAUACGAGAAUUAAACUUGUCAGGCUGCGGUAUUACCGAAUUUCCAGAGAUCAUAAGAACCCAGCAGUCAAUGAGGAGUCUAGACAUUGCCAACAACAAAAUCAAAGGUCAAGUGCCUGGCUGGUUAUGGACUCUACCAAAUCUGACGUACGUGAAUCUUUCCAACAACACUUUCGUCAGUUUCGAAAGACCAACGAAACAUGGACUAUCCUCUGCCGUGGAGUACUUGUCUGGCUCCAGAAACAAUUUCACAGGAAAGAUUCCCUCCUUCAUAUGCGCGUUGGGCUCUCUAAGCGUUCUCGAUUUAUCUGAAAACAACUUCAAUGGUUCAAUCCCUCUUUGUAUGGAGAAUCUCAAGAGUAAUCUUUCGGUUCUAAACCUCCGUCAGAAUCAUCUUAUCGGAGGCCUUCCGGAGAAUGUAUUUGAAAGUCUAAGGUCCCUUGACGUUGGUCAUAACCAACUGCUGGGAAAGCUUCCAAGAUCUUUGAUCCAUUUCUCUGCCCUUGAAGUUCUUAAUGUGGAAAGCAAUAGAAUCAACGACACGUUUCCGUUCUGGUUGAGUUCUGUACAAAACCUGCAAGUUCUUGUCUUACGCUCCAAUGCAUUCCAUGGACCGAUUCAUCGAGCCUCCUUCCUUCAGCUGAAAAUCAUCGACAUCUCGCAUAAUCAUUUUAACGGAGUUUUACCAUUAGAUUAUUUUGUGAACUGGAGUGGAAUGUCAUCACUUGGGACAAACGAAGAUCAAUCGAUUUACAUGGGAGAAGAUAGCUAUUACCACGAUUCAAUGGUUUUGAUGAAUAAAGGUGUAGAGAUGGAGCUGGUACGUAUCCUAAAAAUCCUCACAGCACUCGACUUCUCUGGAAACAGGCUUGAAGGUGAGAUUCCAAGCUCCAUUGGCCUACUGAAAGAGCUUCACGUGCUCAACUUGUCAAACAAUGCUUUCACUGGCCACAUACCAUCAUCUAUGGGGAACCUGACAGCUCUCGAGUCACUUGACGUUUCUCAAAACAAGCUUUCAGGAGUGAUCCCACAAGAGCUAGGGAAUCUCUCGUACCUUGCGUACAUGAACUUCUCCCACAACCAACUGGAGGCACUCAGUUUCGAACGCAGCCUUGCUCUUCCUUCGAACACAACUCUGGACUUUUUGGCCCUGCUCUUGACGAAGUUUGCAAAGAUAUCCACAAGCCAUCAUCGCAAGAGUAUAAAACACCAGAGGAGGCAGAGGAAGAAGACGAAGAAGUGUUUAGUUGGAUUGCAGCUGCAAUAGGAUUUGGACCUGGCAUUGUAUUUGGACUGACGAUUGGAUUCAUACUGGUUUUAUACAAACCGAGGUGGUUCACGAGUCCUUUUGGUCGAAACAAACGCAGAAGCAGAAGCACCACAACUCAUUAAGAGAGGUAAUGUUUUGAAUUUGAUAGAUUAAAGACUAUUGUAUAGUAUAAUGAAUUUUUCUGGGUUAAUGUAUACUGUAUGUGAAAAUUAACGCUGUUUUUGUUUGUAUAGCGUUCUUAAACCCAAGAUGAAGAAUCUUUGAAAAACAGAAUGAAGCAACCAGACCAUAGGUAGAGAAGAAGCUUGGGGGAGAAGGCAACUCAUUUUAUCAAAGUCUAAAUAUCAGUGAUUGUUUUUGGUUUAGUUUGGUGUGUUUAUCAUAUACUCUGUUUUUAGCCAAUGUUUGUGUUUCUCUGUAAUUGAACAAUGAAAGAUUGUUUACAAAGCUCAAACUUAUUCUUAUUUAUUAGAUAAACAUGAUUUGAGAGAGGUAAUAAUGUUCUUGCUCCGACUAAAUCAAUUAUUCUUCUGCCAAAUGAAGAACUAAGAUUCAACACACAUCUCAGAACAUUGAUCCUUAUUCUCUUUUGGUAAUAUUAAUUAGCUGAGUAAAAUGAUAACUUACUUAGCUUAUUGACAGAUAUUUCACUUAGCAGAUAGAUAUAUUAGUUAGCUGCGAUCAAGAUCACCGACCAGUUAAAGCUAUAGAUAUACAGGCUUAAAACCCAAGCUUUGCCAUCAGAAUGAGAGAAAAAAAAUCAUCUCACAAAUCAUUCCACUUUCCAACUACUGAAACUCUUCAAUAGUCAAAUGACUCAAAUCUGAAUAAGAGAGUAUACAUACACACAUACUUAAGUCCUAAAUCUUGUUUAUAAAUGUAACAAAAAUAACCCAUCAUUUUUAACCAAAAACAUUGAACGAAGAAAUUACCCUAUGUUUAUCUGAUAUGAUUGUGAUGUAUCUGCCAUCACCAAGUCCUAAAUCUUGUUUAAGGUGAUUAACGAACCAUCCCCAGUUGAUGUCGUUUUCGAUCUCCACUACUGCCCACGCUAUAGGAACAAUUCUAUUAUCUCCAUCCCUUCCAACUGCAGCUAUCAAUAGGCCUUUAACAUCCCAUUUAAGGAAUGCACCAUCUAGUCCUAUGAUAGGUCUGCAAUGUGUUUUCCAAGUGACUCGUUGUGCUUCAAAACAGACAUAAAUACGAUCAAACCUUUGCUUGCUUCCGGGUGUUGGCCCUGGAAUAGUCUGAAUAUCCAUAAUGGUUCCUUUAUUAGUCUUAUGAAUCUCUGCUUCGUAAUCCCAGAUUCGAGCAAAAUGUGUUCCAUGGCCUGCUCGUCUUUGCCUAGUAAUUUUGGUCUAAAUUACUAGGCUAGGUCAGUAUCUAAUUUGGCUAGGUCAAUAUAAGUUCGGGUGUUUUUUGGCUUAUUACAAAGUUUGUAUUUUUUUUUGGCAAAAUCAUAUAAGUUUGGUAUUUAGAUGACCGAUUUCCCUACACACAUACUUAAGGGUCACGAUGACAAAAUCUUCGGUUUAACCAAUAAGAGUAUUCAUCAAAAGACAUCUUAUAAACCAAUGGAUUAUAUUUUAAAAACUUGGUGAAAACAAACAAGAAAUUUAUCAAUAAAAUACAAGAACACUGGGUCAAUAACUGCUUAAUUCUUUUUUUUUUUUAAAAAAACAAAAGGUAAAUGAUGCAAUUGAUAGUAUAAUCUACACUACUCUAUACUCCACUGUUUUACUUUUUUUAUUUUAAGUACACAACUUUUUGUUAUUUUUUAUUCUUGGGAGAUGUAUAUCCUAUAAACAAAACUGUGUUAAAUGGAAGGACUUGAUAGACACCAAAACCAGAAGAGAAACGAAAACAAACGGCUCAAACUUGACAGUAUAAAAUAUCUACUGUUAAAACAUCAUCCAAAAUUUAUAAAUUAACGAUUGAGAAAUAUUUUGAUAAAAAAUAUAAUUCGAUAAUAUUGAUCAGAUUACAGCAUCACAAAGUCAGUGAACAAAUCAUAUAAAACAAACUUGAAUAAAGAAAAUUGUAUCAUGCCAAUUGCCAAAAGAAACCAAACAAAUAAAUAGAUAACAGAAAGUAGAAACAUUGACUGACCGAUUACUAAGUUCUGGACAAAAGACGAAGACUUGAAAAGUCAACUUCAGUCUUCUUCCUUAUUGUCCCACCAAUAAUUUUACUUUUUCUCCUUCAAUCUCAUCUUCUUCCUCAAUCCUCUGAACAUCGACCACAUGUUUCUUCAUCCAUUGACCUCAAAUACUUGAUUUUCACUAUCGACUCUCUUUCUUUCUCUCUCUCUCUAGAUUUUCCGUCAAAGCUAUGGAGAAACUCUGUCUUCGAAACUCUGUUUCUCUCAUGACGAUGGUGGUUAUUGUUCUUCUUCCUCGUUGCACUCUUUCUACUACUUCUACAUAUUCUCGUCCCGAGAAGUUGUACGUCAACUGUGGGUCGGAUUCUAAUGUCACUUACGGUAACCGGACUUUUGUCGGAGAUAUGAUCUCUGGUGGUAACUCCGUUUCAUUCACCAAGAAAGGAACUGAAGCCAUCAACCAAUCAGGAUCAGGAAUCUACGAAAUGGUUAGGAUAUUCACAAGCCCUUCUUCUUACAAGUUCCAACUCGAUUCCGUUGGUCUGCACUUCGUGCGUCUCCAUUUCUCUGCUGUCUCUUCUCGGACACAGCUUUUAGCUGCUCGUUUCACAAUCUCAGCUACUUCUCACUUGAAAAGUUUCUCGCUUCAGAAUUUCAAUGAGACCCCACGAGUUGAGGAGUUUCUCCUGAUGAUUGACUCGCCGGAAUUCGAAAUUCGAUUUGUGCCCGAUCAUUCAUCCAUGGCUUUCGUCAACGCCAUCGAAGUGUUCUCUGCUCCAGAUGACCUAGAAAUUCCGUCAGACUCCGACAAGAAUCUGCAUACGGUUUACAGAUUAAACGUAGGAGGCAAGAAGAUCACACCAGAAAACGACACCUUGGGAAGAACUUGGUCAUUAGACGAUGACUUCCUCUACGAAAAAGAUUCUGCGAGGAACAUUAACUCAACACAAAAGCCUAACUAUGAGUCAGGAACAGUGACGCAAUUCACUGCUCCUGAUUUCGUCUAUCAGACAGCUAAAACGAUGAACCAUAGCUCGAACGAGGGGGUGGUAGAGGGAAUGUUGAUGAACGUCACUUGGUCAUUUAAGGUCAAAAGCAGCUCAAGACACUUCAUCAGGGUUCACUUCUGUGAUAUCAAGAGUGAAUCACAAAAUCCCGACUCCGAUUUCUAUCUCUAUGUAAACGGACAAUCACGACUAGAUGUAAAGCCUUCAGAGCGUAUUAGGUUGGUGACUCCGUUUUUCAAAGAUGUGAAUGUCUCUGAUGGUUUUGGACUCUUGAAUGUUACAAUAGGUACUAAGGAUUCCACUAAGGAUGCUGGUUUUCUGAAUGGUCUGGAGGUGAUGGAGUUUUUGAAAAAGUCAGAUUCUUCAGAUAAAAGUAGUUUCCGGGUUUACAUCAUUGCUGGCUGUGUUGUUGCUGCAUCGGUUCUGGUAUUGAGUUUGUUGUUCACAGUUUUCUUGAAGCGGAGGAGAUUGAAGAAGGAAAAGAAGUUAGACGCUGAGGUCACUGAAUGGUCUCCUUUGCCAUUGUACAGAGGUGGUGGGAGUUCCGACAAUAGACCUUCUGAUCCGGUCAACAAUUCUCCAUUACGCAGCAAUAGAACUUUUGAUCCGGUCAACAAUUCGCCAUUACGCAACCUAAACUUAGGCUUGACCAUUCCCUUCAUAGACAUUAUGAGAGCUACAAACAAUUUCGACGAGCAGUGGUUGAUCGGGAGAGGCGGUUUCGGAGACGUUUACAAAGCCAUUCUUCAAGAUGGAAGCAAAGCGGCUAUCAAGAGAGGCAAGAGUGGUUCAGGACAAGGAAUAUUGGAGUUUCAAACAGAGAUUCAAGUCCUGUCGAGAAUCCGGCACAGGCACCUCGUUUCUCUAACGGGUUACUGCGAAGAGAACUCGGAAAUGAUCCUUGUCUACGAGUUUAUGGAGAAAGGUACGCUUAAGGAGCAUCUAUAUGGCUCGGAUUUGCCUUCACUGACAUGGAAACAGAGACUAGAGAUCUGCAUCGGAGCAGCCAGAGGUUUGCAUUAUCUCCACAGUGGCUCAGAAGGAGCAAUCAUUCACAGAGAUGUCAAAUCCACAAACAUACUACUAGACGAGAACACCGUAGCCAAAGUUGCCGAUUUCGGGCUCUCAAAACUCGCGGUUCGUAAUCAAGAUCCGAUUAAUAUCAGCACUAACAUCAAAGGAACAUUCGGUUACCUCGAUCCUGAGUAUCUGCAGACACACAUCUUGACGGAGAAAUCAGAUGUUUACGCUUUUGGAGUCGUUCUCCUCGAGGUCUUGUGCGCGAGAUCGGCUCUCGAUCCUUCUCUUCCUCACGAGGAAGUGAAUCUAGCCGAGUGGGCGAUGUUCUGCAAAUCCAAAGGGAUAAUCGAUGAGAUCUUAGAUCCGAAAUUGAUAGGUCAGAUCGAGCCGAGUUCGUUGAGGAAAUACAUGGAAAUCGCGGAGAAGUGUUUGAAAGAGUACGGAGACGAGAGGCCGAGCAUGGGGGAUGUGAUCUGGGAUCUGGAGUAUGUUCUUCAGCUUCAGAUGAUGCCGAUUCGCAGAGAGCCUCAUGAGGAUAGCGCCGCGACGAUCUCCGGCGGCGGAGGCGAAAGCUCGUUGGUGAUUCCGAGGUUGAUGGUGAGUGAUUCGUUUAGCUCAAACUCGAUUGUUCAGAAGAACGAAGGGAAGAGCAGCUAUGGAGGUACAGAUUCAUCGGAGAGUCGAGUUUUCUCCCAAUUGAAGAUCUCCGAAGCAAGAUAAAACGUUCUGAUUUGAAAAGCGUCUGGUUUAAAGCUUUUGAUAUUAAAAACCGGUUAUUGCCGGUUUAAAUUUAUUCAUUUAAAACAGAUGCAAAGUAAACUAGUCAAGGGACUGUAAUAUAAAAAUUAAAACUCGGUUAUCUUCGGUUUAAAGUUAAUUAUUCUAAGACAGAUGCAAAUUUCCGAAUCGAAAAUACAAAUCAAUUUGAUUAACCGAUAAAAACCUAAUUUCAAGAAAAAUUCUGAUUUGAUAAGUCUGGUGUAGUGUAAUUUUUGAGAUUGAAACCCGCCAGUUUAAAGAUAAUUAUUAAGUAACGAGUCAGUUGACUGAAUAUGAAAUAUAAACCCGGUUAUCUUCGGUUAAAAACUAACUAUUCUACGACAAAUGCAAAUAUCUUUACGAAAAACAAGUCAAUUUAAUUAACCGAUAAAACCUAAUUUCAAGAAAAGUUCUGAUUUGAUAAGUGACUGGUUUAGUUUUUGAAAUUAAAACCCGGUUACUGCCGGUUUAACGAGUCAACUGAUUGUGAUGUCGGCGAUGAACGAAUCCAGAUUCCGAGCCGAUGAUCCACCAGGCGCCAACGCCGAUCUCGCCGCGUACUUCAGCUCCGUCGCUCUCCUCCUCAUAUCCGCGGCGGCGGAUCCUUCCGUCACGGCCUCAAUACAUCUCUCCACCUCUUCAACCUUAAGCUCUCCGUCAACGGUGUCGUUCCUCAUCCUCACUCCGAUCCCGAACACAUCCACAAGCAAUCUCGUGUCAAGCGGCUGAUCAAUCCAGCUCGGAUACGCCACCACCGGAACACCAGUCACCACCGUCUCGACCGUCGAGUUCCAGCCGCAGUGCAUGACGAAACAAGAUAUCGCCACGUGGCUCAGUAUCCUCUCUUGUGGACCCCACUCAAUCACAAUACCUUGACCUUCUUUAACCAUCUCCUGCAAAACGUCGACGUUUUCGCCUUUCUCCUUUGGCCUAAUCACCCAGAGAAACGAAACUCCUCUGUUUCUCAGAGCCGUUGCUAUGCUCUUAACUUGAGUCUCCGAAGAUUUCAGCAAACUUCCAAAAGAAAUGUAAACAACCGAAGUAAGCCACUCCAUACUAUACUCAUCCGAUUUCCACAUAUCAAGAUUUUUACCAUCUAGGGUUUUGUCUUCUUCAUCAGCUCCCAACAGAAAUGGAGAAACCAGAGGACCAAUUGGGAUCAUGGGUUUUAAACCAGACAUCGAUUCGAUUAUCUCUGAUUCGAGCUCGUAGAACGAAUUAACCAAAACCCAUUUCACAUCUUUCAAGCAAUCGACGAACUCCACCAUUAGGCUAUUGAAAUGACUUCCUGAAGAAGGCAACAGAAACGAAGGGAGAUCUCCGACUUCCAGCAAUGGUAAACCUGGCAAUUCAACCGUUUGAUUCAAAUCUUCGAGAUUCUCGGGGAAAGCGUUCGUCUUCAUGUAGUAACGGUAAUAAACGGAGAAAGCUCCACAAGCUUCGAUCCAGAGGAUUGCACAGGGGAUGUUAUAUGCAGCUGCAACACCUGGANNNNNNNNNNNNNNNNNNNNNNNNNNNNNNNNNNNNNNNNNNNNNNNNNNNNNNNNNNNNNNNNNNNNNNNNNNNNNNNNNNNNNNNNNNNNNNNNNNNNNNNNNNNNNNNNNNNNNNNNNNNNNNNNNNNNNNNNNNNNNNNNNNNNNNNNNNNNNNNNNNNNNNNNNNNNNNNNNNNNNNNNNNNNNNNNNNNNNNNNNNNNNNNNNNNNNNNCAGUGACGAUGCAAGAGAAUCUCUUUGAUUCGACGAUUUUAGACAAGUUCUUGGCUCCUACUUUUCUCAACGAUGGUAUGAGAGAAUCCGCACCUCCUGUGUGGUCUUUAGGCAGACCGUCGGAGAAGAAAGCAAGGUCCACUAGGCUAUGGUGAUGUUCUUUGUCUGCGGUGGUGGCUGCGGUGGAGAGGAGGUCACGGGUUUUCUCGGUGGUGGCGAGAGUGAAUCGGAGGUUCGGUCUUGAGAGAUGUUUGGCGAAUUUGAGCAUUGGAUUAAGAUGAUCUUGAAAUGGUAGUGCUACCAAUAGAACAUGUGUUUCUUGACCCUCACUAUUUCUCAUUUCUGCUUUGUUUAGAGGUGUUACUUAUUAGACUUGAGUUGUGUAUGAGAUUGUGUGUAACUUGUAAUUGUGGUGGUAUAUAUAACAAUGGUUGCUUAACGAUAGAUUUUUGCUUAAAAUGAAGUUAUUAAGUGAGAUUUUGGUAAGAAAAAUCUAUAUAUAGUAAAAAUUGGUAACCCAAUAAAAUGUUGUUGAAUAGAUUCAAAAGUUACCACGUUUAUUAGCACUCUGCGCCUUGUCCUUAACUCAAUUCAAAUCUUGUAUAAUUGUUGACAAAAAAAACACGAUAUAUAUACCAAUUCUAGUAUGGUUAAAGUCAACAGUCAUUACUAAUGAUUUAUGAAUCUUUUUGUAUAGUGUGACACUGAGAUCAUUGUAAUUUGUUAAUGACAAUCUAUAAACUGUAAUUGGUAAUCCAAUAAACGUUGGUCAAUAAAUUCAAAUUUAAUCAUGUGUUUCUAUGCUCUUGUAAAUAAAUAAAUAUAUGUUAUUUUCAAUUGUGUUAUGGUUAUGAUUAGAUUUAUAUAAAAAAUAUGGUUAUGAUUAGAUUUAUAUAAAAAAAAAAACAGGUCUCAAUUCAUUCGGAUCAGUCUCGUUUGUAUUUGUCUCACUUUUAGAUUUGAAAUCCGUUAAGCUCUAUUUAGUUUUUGGAACUAACAGAGUAAUCGGUUUAUACACGCCAAAAUUCUUUUAAUCUAUUUAAAACCAUUUACGAUAUGAUGCUUAAACAUUCUUAAUAUUUAUUUUAAAUUAUAUAAACUAAGCUUUUGGAAGCUAAUCAGAAGUUAACACACCAAUAUAAUUACCAUUGUUUUUUUAUUAAAUAAUAAUUACCAAUGUUUCAAGGCAUGCUUGAAUAUUCCACUAAGAAAAAUCAUCGAAAUUGUUUAUACUAAUCUAAAAUCCUAGCAAAGGUGGGUGAAUCUUUUUUUUUAAAAUAGUUAUACAUAUUUUCGAGAUGACAAAAUUUAACAAUAUGAUAAAAUCAUAUGGACACUCGAACAUUUAUGUAGAUUUAGUUAUGUUAUAUAUCCAAGAAGAAAUGAAUAAUAUUAAGUAACAUCUAUUACAAAUAACAUAUCAAUUGGUAACAUCAGAUGGCAAAUCAAAUAACAUCAUUACGUAGUAAAUUCAUAUGCAUGCGUUACUAGCUAAGCUUGUAUUCACUUUAUAAAAGAAAAUACAAAAUAGCAAUAGCAAUAAUGAAGGGAAGAGCAGCUACGGAGGUACAGAUUCAUUGAUCGAAGAGUCGAGUUUUCUCCCAAUUGAAGAUCUCUGAAGCAAGAAAACAAAUAAUCUCUUGAAUCCUUCUGAUUUAAAUACCGACUGGUUUUAACUUUUGAUAAUAAAAUCCGGUUAUUGCCGGUUUAAAUAUAAACAUUUUUUUAAGUCGACAAAAAAAAACAUUUCAAAACAGAUGUAAAGUGAGUCAACACUAUGAUCGAUGACUUUCUAGUUGAUGAGAAACGUGCACAAAAAGAAAAGGGUAACACUAUGAUCGAUCACUUGCUUUCUCUCCAAGAAACUCAACCAAAUUAUUAUACGGAUGUCAUCGUCAAAGGACUCAUAGUUGUAAGUAUUGAGGAAUACAUUUAAUACAUCACUAACAACUAACAAGGCUAACUAAGCUUUUUAUAAUGACUAAUUCUUGACUUCUAUUUGGAUAGGUUAUGAUAUUUGCUGGAAAUGUAACAUAAACAAGAACGUUAGAAUGGGCGAUGCUAAAUCUGUUGAACCAUCCAGAAGUACUAAAGAAAGCGAGGAUUGAAAUCGAUACAAACAUUGGUUUGGACAGGUUAAUAGAUGAACAGGAUGCGAAAAGUCUUCCUUACCUCCAAUGCAUCAUAUCAGAGAUUUUUCGACUUUACCCGGCAGCUCCUUUACUUGCUCCUCAUAGGGCUACAGAUGAUUGUAUAGUUGGAGGCUACGACUUCCCUCUUGGCACGACAUUAAUCGUGAACGUAUGGGCCGGCCAUUCACCGAGACCCAAACAUAUGGUAAGAGCCAGAAAAGUUCAAGUUAGAGCGGUUCGAGAAGAAAGGAGAAGAACAAAAGUUGAUGCCGUUUGGAAUGGGACGACGAGCUUGUCCCGGGUCUGGUCUAGCUCAACGGGUCGUGAGUUUGGCUCUCGGAUCGAUGAUUCAAUGUUUUGAAUGGGAGAGACUUGGAGAAGAAUAUGUUGACCUAAGUGAAGCAACCACAAUGCGUCCAACGACGCCGUUGCUAGCCAUGUGUAGAGCUCGUCCUAUUGUUCAUAAGAUUUUCAAUGCUUCUUUUUGAGAUGUCACUCCCUUUUUAAAAAAAUAUGUAUAUCCAUUUAUGUUAUAUCCAUUUUGAGAUGUAAUUAAAAUGAAAGACAAAGACUAGUCUUUGAUUUACCUUUAGAUUUUCGAUUUUAUUAAAAUUCAAAAACUAUUUUUUUUUUCAAAAACCAAAAUUUAGAAGUUAAAGGCUACUCCAUUAUCAAAUAAACUCACUUCUAAAUUUCUAAAAUUAUGAAUGAGGAGUAGUUUUUUUUUACUUUGAGAAAGGGUGAAGAAAUUUUUCCAAUUUAUUAGUUUUUUUUUUGUUGAGGAAGGGUUAAGAAAAGGGAGCUUGUUUUAUAAUAGAAUCUCUCAUGCAAUUAUUCCACCUGUCACUAGAGAUAUGUUCAUAACUUCGUAACGUCUCAUGCAAUUACUGACUAAUAAACAUGUGUAAUAAGUCUCCAUUAAUAUUGAUAGUCUAUUUAUUUUGCUUUUAAUUAAUAGGGUUUUGAGUAGAAAUUUGUUUCUUUCUAAUAUUAUAGACAAUAUAUAUUGCUAGCGUUUACGUUUUUGGUUUAAACCAUAGUGAUUAAAAAUAAACAAAUCAUAAAUUAUUAUUAAGGGUGACCUACACAUAUUUAUUAGUCAUUAAUGAAUGAGACGUUACGAACAUAUUUUUAGUUUAUUAAAAAAAAAAGAUAUCUUUAGUGACAGGUGUGAUAAUUGCAUGAGAGUUUUCAUUAUAAACUAAGCUACAUAAACUAAUAACUUCCAUGUUCGAUUCAACACAUUUACAACAAGAAGAAGUUCUUAAUCUAAAAUGGAAACUUACUUUCUAAUUUUAUCCCUUGCCAUCUUCUUUUUCAUUUCUCUAAAACCUUUGUUUGGUAAACGGCACAGCAAGUUUAACCUACCACCAAGUCCGGCAAGGCCACUACCGUUGAUUGGACACCUUCACCUCCUGAAGCAGCCUCUCCACCGCACAUUCCUAUCCUUCUCUCAAUCUCUCGACAGUGCCCCAAUUUUCUCCCUCCGCCUCGGAAACCGUCUCGCCGUUGUCGUCUCCUCCUACUCCAUCGCCGAAGAAUGCUUCACAGAAAACGACAUCGUUUUGGCCAACCGGCCAGAGUCCAUAGUCGGGAAAUACAUUGAGUACAACUUCACCACUGUGACCAGUGCGCCUUAUGGUGACCACUGGCGAAACUUGCGGCGUCUCAGUACCCUCGAGAUCUUCUCCUCGCACAAGCUCAAUGGCUUUUUAUCUGUCCGUAAGGACGAGAUCCGACACUUGCUACUUCGUCUCUCCAAAAACUCCCAGCAUGUAUGUGAGCUUGUACAUAACUUGAAGAUUGUACUCUAUAAACAUUAUCAGAGUUUGUAACCUAGUAGUGUGUCUUAGUGUGGCCACUAGGUCAUAACCUGAGUCCGUGCAACACAAGUUUGAGAAUUGAUAAUUUGUUUAUUUGAUUAUAAAUUAGGGGUUUGCGAAGGUGGAGAUGAGAUCAUUGUUUAUGGAUUUGACUAUCAAUAACAUUCUCAGAAUGAUGGCUGGGAAAAGAUUUUAUGGUGAUGGAACAGAGCAAGUGAGACAGCUUAUUGACGAGGUGGUAUCCUACGCCGGCGCCGGGAAUGCUACCGAUUAUAUCCCAAUCUUGCGUUGGAUCACAAGUUUUGAGAAACGGGUUCAAGAACUUAGCCGGGUAGGGUCGAAUGAGUUCUAGCAGAGCCCUGUGGAUUGAAAAAACGUGCGGAUAAAGAAAAGGGCGACACUAAUGAUGGAUCACUUGCUUUCUCUCCAAGAAAUCCAACCUAAUUAUUACACAGAUAUCACUCUAAAGGGGAUUAUAGUUGUAAGUAUUUAUUUUCUACAUUUAUUAAUCUUGAAUAAUCUAUUUAAUAUAUAACAACAUAAACUAAACAUCUGUUAAUUUAAUUUUUACAGGUUAUGAUACUUGCCGGAACUGAAACACUAAUAGGAACAUUAGAAUGGGCUAUGUUGAAUUUGUUGAAUCAUCCAGAGGUAUUAACGAAAGCAAGAACCGAAAUCGAUACCAAAAUCGGUUUUGACCGGUUAAUAGAUGAACAAGAUAUUAAAAAUCUUCCUUAUCUCCAAGGGAUUGUGUUGGAGACCUUACGUCUUCACCCUGUAGCUCCUACACUUGUUCCACAUAUGACGUCAGAUGAUUGCAUUUUAGCUGGAUACGACGUUCUUUGUGGGUCGAUGUUAUUGGUGAACGUAUGGGCCAUGCAUAGAGACCCGUAUAUAUGGGAAGAUCCAGAAAUGUUCAAGCCAGAGAGGUUCGAAAAUGAAAAGGAAAAUCAAAAGGUGUUGUCGUUUGGGAUUGGACGACGAUCAUGUCCCGGGGUUGGAUUAACUCAUCGGUUAGUGAGCUUGGCUCUCGGAUCGAUGGUUCAAUGUUUCAAAUGGGAGAGAAUUGGAGAAGAAUAUAUUGACACUAGAGAGGCACCUAUGAUGCGUCCAGCUACACCGUUACAAGCCAUGUGUAAAACUCGUCCCAUUGUCCAUAAGAUUCUCGAUGCUUUUGCUUGAAUUGUAACUCUUCUUGGUUUGAUUUAUGUUCGGAAAUAUUACAUCAACUUGUUUUGAGUUGGGAAAUAAUUCAAAAUCCUUCUAAGAACGCUUUCAUGCAAACUGUUGAAUGUAUCUUCAAGGUUCUGAUCACCACCUAGCUAAGUCUUUGCGGAAGAUCCUCACUAAAUAUUAUCAUUUUGCCUUCGAAUACAUUGAUGUUGUUGCCCUGAUACAGUUGAAAAAAAAAACAACUAUAGAGACACUCAAAUAAAAAAAAAGUUCAUAGCUUUAAAAUUUGAGAAAAUUUGAAAAAAAUACCUUAUCAUGAGUUUUUAAUUUGAAAAAUACACCAAUUUUUUUUUUUUUGAAAUCUACACUUAUUGAUAAGUAAAAUAACAAAAUUAACCAUAAUUUGAAAUUGAAGUAAUUUUUUAUUUAGAUUGUAAUAUAUUUUAAACAUAUAUAUAUGUAUAUAUAUUUAGAUAUUCUGCACAAAGAAUAUCUAGUUAGUUUCUAUUUUAUUUAACUUUAAUUACCAAACAAUAUUUUAAUUAAAAAAACGUUUUAACUCAAUUCAACGAGACUUCAGAUUCUGUAAAACACAGAUCACACUCAUUUGCACUCACGCCGUCAAAAUCACUAUUCACAAAUUGGUAGAUUUUUUUUCUUUCGUUCUUGAUUUAUAUUUGUCGUAGUAUUAUACUUCUUCUCUUUUUAUUCUCAAAAUGGUUUGUUUUGUUUUUUAUUUAUACAGAAAAAUGGUGCAUAUCGCUGGAGUUUUUGGUGAAUGGCAAGUGAAAAAAGAAUCAUGGAAAUUCAUCGUGAAUACUAAAAAAAGAGGUAAAUUAUUCACGAUUAGGGAUGAUUUGAAGUUUGCUGAUAUGGUUUGAAGUUUGCUGAGAUGGCCGAGUCUAUAAAUGUUGUGUUCAAAAAGCCUCGUGAGCUACCCAUUGUCUCAUUGAUUGAGGUAAUAAAGAAUACACUAACACGGUGGUUUUUUUAUCGUCGAGAAAGUGCUGCGAAACUUACUUCUUCUCUCACACCUAAAGUUGAAAACAAGCUCAAUAAACGGUGUGAUUUGUCUGAUACUUUCGAUGCGCAGCCCAUAAAUCAAUAUGAGUUUCAGGUAACCGAUGGCUCCCAAAAUUUUUUGGUUGAUCUACAACGGAUGACUUGUACAUGUCAAGUGUUUAGUAUUGAUAAGAUCCCCUGUAAGCAUGCUGCUAAAGCUGCAAAAAGUCGAGGCAUAGACCCUGGGUUAUAUGUACAUCCGUACUACUCAAAGUCAUACUUGUGUGCUGCAUAUUCAGAGAGCAUAAGACCUGUAGGUGAUAUUUCAGAAUUGAGCGAAAUACCUGCUGAUAUUGUUGGUCAGAUAUGCUUACCUCCAGAUGUCCGAAGGAAACCAGAAAGACCCGUAAAAAGAAGAUAUCAAAGUGUUGGAGAACAAGCAAUGAGGAAAAAAGCACGCAAACAAUGUUGUUCAAGAUGUCAUCGUUCAGGACACAAUCGUGCGAGAUGUGACUUUGGAAUUUGAUUUUUAUUUUUUAUUUGGUUUGAAACUCUGUUUUUCAUUUCGUAAACUUUUUUCACUCUUCCUUGAAUUGGGAUUUUACAUAUUCUGGUUUUAUAUUAUUUGUAUGCAGACUCUCUCUUUCAAUUUCUCUUAUAUCACCAGUUUGCUAAUGCGUCCUUUUUUUCUUGGUCUUUUCCAAAUCAGUAAUACUAGUAAGUGCAUUACCGUUCUUGAAAUCAAUGAGAAAAUUGAAGAUCUUGAACAAAAUCAAGUUUAAACCUUAUUGCUUUUUUGAAGAUUCAUUGGUUCGCUCCAAUCCUCGAAAUGCAUUUGAUCGCUCAAAGUAUGUUGCCUCAAUGAGACAGACUCAACUUGGUAAUUUGAUCGUUGCUUUUUUUUCAUUCUGAAAACGAUAGUCUGCAUUGAUUAAUGUUGCAUGAGUCUAGUUGUGUGACUUAGGUUGUGGUGCUUGACGAGAGAGGCCGUGACAUUAACUCAGAGCAGAUGGCUGAUUUACUAGGCGAUGCAGGAAAUAGUGUAAGCUUAUACCUUCUCUUUGUUCUUACAUCACCCAUAUCUGUUUUCAGGGAGCUUCAAGGAUAUCGUUUUGUAUAGGUGGACCUUAUGGACAUGGAAGAUAAGUGAGGAAGCGAGCUAAUGUGACCAUUAGACUUUCCUCCAUGGUUCUGAAUCAUCAGAUAGCUCUUGUGGUCUUGAUGGAACAGCUUUACAGGUGAAACCAUUGUUGCUUCCGUCUGUGUGUGCGUCCCAGUUACACUUAAUUUCAAGUUUUUAUAGCCUCGCCGGUUGUGCGUUCAUAUGAUGUGAUGGGGUUUUCUGUUUUCAGGUCAUGGACUAUUCUCAAGGGACAAAAUUACCAUCAUUCAGGAUGUAUGAAUCUCUAUUUUUGGUGUUCUUCUUUUGCUUUCUUGUGCUUAAAGAAACUGGAUUGCUAAAAAGACUUUCUGCUUAUAAUGUAUCAGAAAUUGUUUAUUGAACGUGAAAACGUUUGUAAUCCAAAGUUUAUUGCUUCUGAUCUUGGCUUAGAUUUGAGUCAUCCGAGUGCAAUAUCUGAUUUUGUAUGUUGCAUAUUGUUCUCAUCAUAUAGAGAUUGAAUGAAUGUAGAAGCGAUUGUGGCUGUUCAACAAAUGAUCCUCUCUCCACAUAUCUCCAUAUAAAGGGAAGGAGAUAGGAGACGCUUUAUGAACGUAGAUCAUCUUCCCUUCUUUGAAUCUAGAUUCUUCUCUUGUGUUUGAUUUCCGUUUUGAAGAGUGAAGAGUAAAACGCAAUGUUUUCAGAUUCUAUUUUCAAUACAGUGUUUAUUAGACUUUUUUCUGAUAAUCAAAAGUAAUAACACUCUGUGCAUUAUUCCAUUCUCAUGGAGAUGUGAAACUGCAAAGACAAUUUCUGCAGUCUACACACGAGCCAAGUCCUCUCUAUGAAAAACAAAACAUAGAACUAGUCAGUCCUAUAAUAGUUGCAAAAAGGAAUUAAACUAAACCUGAAAAGCCCUUGGUGAGAGAGCUUGAAGAAUUAAAUGCCCUCCGUUUAUGAAGUCCAUCACAAGAUACAGACUAUACUUAGUCUGCAGAAAAAGAAAAGAAAAACAGGUUCGUAUAGUGCUAUGAUAGCUCAAGAAAACAGAGAAAAUGGAUAAAGUUUGAUUUUGCAAGAUUAGCAAACGAGAUUUGCUCCAGUCUCUUCGCUCUGCUUGUGAUGCUGCUGGUUCUCUUCUUGUUUUCGAUAAGGUACAUAGAAGGAACAGAGAAGCUGAGUCUAGCAAAGGUUUGAGCAAAUUUGAAGUGAGAAUCAAAGAGCUUGAGAUUAAUGCCAAGGGACGAGAAGUUUAAUUAUUGACCUUCGGGGAAGAGUUUCAUUAGCGUUUUAGAAACAAAGAUUUUCUUUUAUAAAGUCUUGUGAAGUCUGCAAGAUUUUCUUUUAUGAGAUUUAUGAGUAAAGCAAAAAAGUAUCUAAAGAAAAGAGUAAUGUAAAGAUCACAAUGUGAUUCAUCUAUUAGAUUUCUAAAAAAAAAAUAUAACUAAAUAGGAAAACCAAGUGAGAAGCAAUCCAACGAAAAACCAAACAAUAAGAAUCAAUGAAUCAAUUAUAAGAAAAGAACUUCCAAAUAAAAGAAAACUAAGAAAAGAAGAAUACGUUCUUAAAACUCAAAACCCAAAAAAUACAUCUAAAGAUUCUGAAAAUGGUUGGCUUCUCCGAACAUAUCCGUUGCAAACUUUUGCCGGAUAUCACUGAUGUUUUCAUCUGACAGUCCAACAUUCAUAUCUAUGUCUAAGGCAAGACACUCGAUAUACUUCAUAGCAUAUACUCCACAAUCACCCGUUUGAGUGUUCUGUGGAAUUCUUCUACAUCUUGAUACUGUGUACUCAUCAGUACUUAAUCCGUAUUGGUCAGCUGGUGAAGCCAAUGAUUUGAGAAGAUAUGGAAGCAUAUGUGCAUAUGGCCUCACCAACUCUGUUAUCUCAUCAUCGCUAGUUAGCGAAAUGAUACUGUCGUACACUUCAAUAUGCUGGUGAGGAAUUGAGAUAGCCAAAGCAAUCCAAUGAACACUUUUAAUGUUUAGCACAAGGUAGACAUCAUCGACAUCAACGCCAAGUCUCUUAUUUGUACUUUCACACCUUGGUAAAACACCUUUAUAGUAAUCAAUUAACUCACCGCUCCAGUCAAAGUUUCUCUGGUUUUGUGAGAACUUUGGGUAGACUUUUGAUAUCACUUUUCUUCAUUGUUUUUUUGUUCGGAUAUGUGUGAUCUAAUUCUGUCUUUCUUUUUCCAUCAAUUUCUUUCUGAAACUUGUACUCCAUCUCUAACAAAACCUAUGAAAAAGAAGAAAAGAAUUCAAAUAUGUGGUAAUUUUUAAUAACCAAAUCAUUCAUUGCAACUAAAAAACAAAAUAAAUAUAGGAAAGCAUCACAAAUCGAGAUACCGUAUUGCUGUGUUGUUCUUCUGCUCCCUUCUCUGUUUUUUUUUUCUUAGAAAAAGAAAGACGUCAACGACUUGUUUAUAUAACAAAUUGAAAAAAAAAAAAUUUUUAUCGAGAUAAAGUUGAAAUUUUUUUAAAGAUUUAUCCAAUUAAUUAAUGUGAUUAAUGAGAUAUCUUUAUCUCAAAUAAAAAUUCAAUCAUAAUAAUUAUUAUUUCGAGUUUUUCUUUUUAUUUAAAUAGAUAGUGUUAGUUAAAUUUUGGUCAAAACGACUUUAAACAUAAAUCAAAAGUGUAGUUUUUAAAAGAAAAAAAAAUGGUGUAUUUUACUAAUUCAGAAACUUAAAUAGUGUAUUUUGCUAAUUAUCCCUUAAAAUUUCUUGUAUAUUUUGAAAUUAACUAAAAGUAAACUAUAUUGCUUAUACUGAUAUUUCCGUUUCUUCACAGUAUGAUCUAUUGAUUUUUGCAACCCUCUAUAUUUGUAUUGUUGCACAGCUACUUAUAUUUCCCUUUCAUUACAAUGUGAUAUAAUAUUUCUUGUAAGUUUUGCAAUCCACUACAUAUCAUUUUUCCCAGAGUCAACUUAUCUUCGUGUUUGUAUAUUGAGUAUUACAUUUGUACUUUUACAAUUCUUUUUUUUUUUAUAAUCUUGAAGUGCUCUAGGAAUUAUAAUUAUUAUAUCAUGUUGGAUUUUUAAGAAUUUUGGUUUUUAUGAUAUUUUGUAAAAAAUUAGAGAGUGAUGUGUUUCUAGGGACAAAAGACGAAGACUUGAAAAAUCAACCCUGGUGUUUUUCCUUCUUGUCCCAUUAAAAAUCUCAGUUUUCUCUUCAAUCUUAUCAACUUCCUCAGAAUCCUCUUCACAUCGACCACAGGUUUCUUCAUCCAUCGACUUAUUGAAAUUUCUUGUAGUAUAAGUUAAACCAAAAUGUGUGGAAACUAUUCAACACAAAAGACUUUUCACUCUCUUCUUUCAACGUGAAUAACACUUCGUACGAAGGACUAAAUGGUGAGCCAAGCGAAGCUGAGUGGAAAUGGAGCACUGACUAUAUGUAUAUAAAGAGAUGGCAUGAAACCAAUUUAACCAUCACAAUUUCCAUUUGCUCGCUUCUUUUUCGCUAUUGAUUUUCAAGAAAGUUAAAAAUUAGCUUAAAGAAAAAACGAAAGGCUCUUGAAACUCAAUGAGUAUCAUUCAUAUUUCUCUUUCUUUUCUCCUCUUGUUCGUUUUUUAUUUUCAUGACGUGUUUGCGUCUCCUACUAGACACUUGUGUCGUCCGGAGCAAAGGGAUGCACUUCUCGAGUUCAAGAAUGAGUUUGAGAUUCGGAAGCCUUCUUUUCGGUGUUAUGUUAAUGGUCGCUGGGUAAACCCGUACCCGAAGACGGAGUCAUGGGCAAAUAAUACUGAUUGUUGUUAUUGGGAUGGUAUCAAGUGCGAUGCCAAAUCCGGGGAAGUGAUCGAGCUAGACCUCAGAUGCAGCUCUCUCUACGGCAAGUUUCGUUCCAAUACCAGUCUGUUUAGGCUUCGUAACUUUCGUUUUCUCACCACUCUAAACCUUUCACGGAAUGAGUUACAUGGUCAAAUCCCGUUUUCAAUUGGAAAUCUUUCUCUUCUUACUUCUCUCGACCUUUCUUCCAAUGGGUUUUCGGGUCAGAUUCCAUCUUCAAUUGGAAAUCUUUCUCUUCUUACUUCUCUCGACCUUUCUGAAAACGGGUUUUCGGGUCAGAUUCCAUCUUCAAUUGGAAAUCUUUCACUUCUUACCUCUCUUGAUCUUUCUUUCAAUCAGUUUUCGGGUCAGAUUCCAUCUUCAAUUGGAAAUCUAUCACUUCUUACCUCUCUCGACCUUUCUCUUAAUCAGUUUUCGGGUCAGAUUCCAUCUUCAAUUGGAAAUCUUUCCCUCUAUCUUAACAGACUCUCUGGUGAAAUCCCAGAUUCUUUUGCCAGUUUGAAAAAUUUGACGAGGUUAGAUGUUAGUUUCAAUAAGCUUAGUGGUAAUUUUCCAAUUUGGCUACUAAAUUUGACAGAGUUGUCGGAUUUAUCACUCGAUUCCAAUCAACUCACAGGAACGCUUCCCUCAAACAUUAGCUCACUCUCCAACUUGGUGAAUUUUUACGCAAGUGACAACGAUUUCGUUGGAACCAUUCCUUCUUCUCUCUUCACCAUUCCUUCUUUGAGAAUAAUUUAUUUGUCAGAUAACCAACUCAACGGCACUCUCGAGUUUGGGAAUAUAUCUUCACCAACAAAGCUAGUCGUGUUAAUGCUUGGCGGUAACAACUUGAGAGGGCCAAUCCCGAGAUCCAUUUCCAAAUUAGUCAACCUCUAUUACCUUGACCUUUCCAAUUGGAACACCCAAUUAGGCCCAAUUGACUUGAGUAUCUUCUCGCAUCUCAAGUCACUCCGAAUUCUUGACUUAUCCCAUUUGAACACCACCACUACGAUUGACUUGAAUGCCAUCUUAUCAUGUUCUCAGUUGCUGGAAACAUUGGAUCUCUCAGGCAACCAUGUUUCAGCCGAAAACAAGAGCUCAGUUUCAGAUCCUCCUUCGCAAAUGAUACGAGAAUUAAACUUGUCAGGCUGCGGUAUUACCGAAUUUCCAGAGAUCAUAAGAACCCAGCAGUCAAUGAGGAGUCUAGACAUUGCCAACAACAAAAUCAAAGGUCAAGUGCCUGGCUGGUUAUGGACUCUACCAAAUCUGACGUACGUGAAUCUUUCCAACAACACUUUCGUCAGUUUCGAAAGACCAACGAAACAUGGACUAUCCUCUGCCGUGGAGUACUUGUCUGGCUCCAGAAACAAUUUCACAGGAAAGAUUCCCUCCUUCAUAUGCGCGUUGGGCUCUCUAAGCGUUCUCGAUUUAUCUGAAAACAACUUCAAUGGUUCAAUCCCUCUUUGUAUGGAGAAUCUCAAGAGUAAUCUUUCGGUUCUAAACCUCCGUCAGAAUCAUCUUAUCGGAGGCCUUCCGGAGAAUGUAUUUGAAAGUCUAAGGUCCCUUGACGUUGGUCAUAACCAACUGGUGGGAAAGCUUCCAAGAUCUUUGAUCCAUUUCUCUGCCCUUGAAGUUCUUAAUGUGGAAAGAAACAGAUUCAACGACACCUUUCCGUUUUGGUUGAGUUCUCUACCAAAGCUACAAAUUCUUGUCUUACGCUCCAAUGCAUUCCAUGGACGGAUACAUCGAGCCUCCUUCCUUCAGUUAAAAAUCAUGGACAUCUCGCAUAAUUACUUCAACGGAGUUUUGCCAUCGGAUUACUUUGUGAACUGGAGUAAAUUGUCAUCACUUGGGACAGAAAAAGAUCGGUCGGAUGUAAACUACAUGGGAGAAGGUACCUAUUACGAAGAUUCAAUGGUUUUGAUGAAUAAAGGUGUAGCAUUAGAGCUGGUACGUAUCCUGAAAAUCUUCACAGCACUCGACUUCUCCGGAAAUAGAUUUGAAGGAGAAAUUCCAAGGUCCAUCGGCCUAUUGAGAGAGCUUCAUGUGCUCAACUUGUCAAACAAUGCUUUCACUGGCCACAUUCCAUCAUCUAUGGGUAACCUGACAGCUCUCGAGUCACUAGACGUUUCUCAAAACAAGCUUUCAGGAGCGAUCCCACAAGAGCUAGGGAAUCUCUCGUACCUUUCUUCCAUGAACUUUUCCCAUAACCAGCUUGUCGGUCUUGUACCUGGAGGCACUCAGUUCCGAACGCAGUCUUGCUCUUCCUUCGAAGACAACCCUGGACUUUUUGGCCCUUCUCUUGACGAAGUUUGCAAAGAUAUACACAAGACAUCAUCGCAAGAGAAUGAAACACCGGAGGAGGCAGAGGAAGAAGACGAAGAGGUGUUUAGUUGGAUUGCAGCUGCAAUAGGAUUUGGACCUGGCAUUGUAUUAGGAUUGACGAUUGGAUACAUAUUGGCCUUCUACAAACCGAGGUGGUUCACGAGUCCUUUUGGCCGAAACAAACACAGAAGCAGAAGCACCACAGCUCAUUAAGAGAGGUAAUCUUCUGAAUUUCAUAGAUUAAAGACUAUUGUAUAGUAUAAUGAAAUUUUCUGGGUUAAUGUAUAUUGUAUGUGAAAAUUAACGCUGUUUUUGUUUGUAUAGCGUUCUUAAACCCAAGAUGAAGAAUCUUUGAAAAACAGAAUGAAGCAACCAGACCAUAGGUAGAGAAGAAGCUUGGGGGAGAAGGCAACUCAUUUUAUCAAAGUCUAAAUAUCAGUGAUUGUUUUUGGUUUAGUUUGGUGUGUUUAUCAUAUACUCUGUUUUUAGCCAAUGUUUGUGUUUCUCUGUAAUUGAACAAUGAAAGAUUGUUUACAAAGCUCAAACUUAUUCUUAUUUAUUAGAUAAACAUGAUUUGAGAGAGGUAAUAAUGUUCUUGCUCCGACUAAAUCAAUUAUUCUUCUGCCAAAUGAAGAACUAAGAUUCAACACACAUCUCAGAACAUUGAUCCUUAUUCUCUUUUGGUAAUAUUAAUUAGCUGAGUAAAAUGAUAACUUACUUAGCUUAUUGACAGAUAUUUCACUUAGCAGAUAGAUAUAUUAGUUAGCUGCGAUCAAGAUCACCGACCAGUUAAAGCUAUAGAUAUACAGGCUUAAAACCCAAGCUUUGCCAUCAGAAUGAGAGAAAAAAAAUCAUCUCACAAAUCAUUCCACUUUCCAACUACUGAAACUCUUCAAUAGUCAAAUGACUCAAAUCUGAAUAAGAGAGUAUACAUACACACAUACUUAAGUCCUAAAUCUUGUUUAUAAAUGUAACAAAAAUAACCCAUCAUUUUUAACCAAAAACAUUGAACGAAGAAAUUACCCUAUGUUUAUCUGAUAUGAUUGUGAUGUAUCUGCCAUCACCAAGUCCUAAAUCUUGUUUAAGGUGAUUAACGAACCAUCCCCAGUUGAUGUCGUUUUCGAUCUCCACUACUGCCCACGCUAUAGGAACAAUUCUAUUAUCUCCAUCCCUUCCAACUGCAGCUAUCAAUAGGCCUUUAACAUCCCAUUUAAGGAAUGCACCAUCUAGUCCUAUGAUAGGUCUGCAAUGUGUUUUCCAAGUGACUCGUUGUGCUUCAAAACAGACAUAAAUACGAUCAAACCUUUGCUUGCUUCCGGGUGUUGGCCCUGGAAUAGUCUGAAUAUCCAUAAUGGUUCCUUUAUUAGUCUUAUGAAUCUCUGCUUCGUAAUCCCAGAUUCGAGCAAAAUGUGUUCCAUGGCCUGCUCGUCUUUGCCUAGUAAUUUUGGUCUAAAUUACUAGGCUAGGUCAGUAUCUAAUUUGGCUAGGUCAAUAUAAGUUCGGGUGUUUUUUGGCUUAUUACAAAGUUUGUAUUUUUUUUUGGCAAAAUCAUAUAAGUUUGGUAUUUAGAUGACCGAUUUCCCUACACACAUACUUAAGGGUCACGAUGACAAAAUCUUCGGUUUAACCAAUAAGAGUAUUCAUCAAAAGACAUCUUAUAAACCAAUGGAUUAUAUUUUAAAAACUUGGUGAAAACAAACAAGAAAUUUAUCAAUAAAAUACAAGAACACUGGGUCAAUAACUGCUUAAUUCUUUUUUUUUUUUAAAAAAACAAAAGGUAAAUGAUGCAAUUGAUAGUAUAAUCUACACUACUCUAUACUCCACUGUUUUACUUUUUUUAUUUUAAGUACACAACUUUUUGUUAUUUUUUAUUCUUGGGAGAUGUAUAUCCUAUAAACAAAACUGUGUUAAAUGGAAGGACUUGAUAGACACCAAAACCAGAAGAGAAACGAAAACAAACGGCUCAAACUUGACAGUAUAAAAUAUCUACUGUUAAAACAUCAUCCAAAAUUUAUAAAUUAACGAUUGAGAAAUAUUUUGAUAAAAAAUAUAAUUCGAUAAUAUUGAUCAGAUUACAGCAUCACAAAGUCAGUGAACAAAUCAUAUAAAACAAACUUGAAUAAAGAAAAUUGUAUCAUGCCAAUUGCCAAAAGAAACCAAACAAAUAAAUAGAUAACAGAAAGUAGAAACAUUGACUGACCGAUUACUAAGUUCUGGACAAAAGACGAAGACUUGAAAAGUCAACUUCAGUCUUCUUCCUUAUUGUCCCACCAAUAAUUUUACUUUUUCUCCUUCAAUCUCAUCUUCUUCCUCAAUCCUCUGAACAUCGACCACAUGUUUCUUCAUCCAUUGACCUCAAAUACUUGAUUUUCACUAUCGACUCUCUUUCUUUCUCUCUCUCUCUAGAUUUUCCGUCAAAGCUAUGGAGAAACUCUGUCUUCGAAACUCUGUUUCUCUCAUGACGAUGGUGGUUAUUGUUCUUCUUCCUCGUUGCACUCUUUCUACUACUUCUACAUAUUCUCGUCCCGAGAAGUUGUACGUCAACUGUGGGUCGGAUUCUAAUGUCACUUACGGUAACCGGACUUUUGUCGGAGAUAUGAUCUCUGGUGGUAACUCCGUUUCAUUCACCAAGAAAGGAACUGAAGCCAUCAACCAAUCAGGAUCAGGAAUCUACGAAAUGGUUAGGAUAUUCACAAGCCCUUCUUCUUACAAGUUCCAACUCGAUUCCGUUGGUCUGCACUUCGUGCGUCUCCAUUUCUCUGCUGUCUCUUCUCGGACACAGCUUUUAGCUGCUCGUUUCACAAUCUCAGCUACUUCUCACUUGAAAAGUUUCUCGCUUCAGAAUUUCAAUGAGACCCCACGAGUUGAGGAGUUUCUCCUGAUGAUUGACUCGCCGGAAUUCGAAAUUCGAUUUGUGCCCGAUCAUUCAUCCAUGGCUUUCGUCAACGCCAUCGAAGUGUUCUCUGCUCCAGAUGACCUAGAAAUUCCGUCAGACUCCGACAAGAAUCUGCAUACGGUUUACAGAUUAAACGUAGGAGGCAAGAAGAUCACACCAGAAAACGACACCUUGGGAAGAACUUGGUCAUUAGACGAUGACUUCCUCUACGAAAAAGAUUCUGCGAGGAACAUUAACUCAACACAAAAGCCUAACUAUGAGUCAGGAACAGUGACGCAAUUCACUGCUCCUGAUUUCGUCUAUCAGACAGCUAAAACGAUGAACCAUAGCUCGAACGAGGGGGUGGUAGAGGGAAUGUUGAUGAACGUCACUUGGUCAUUUAAGGUCAAAAGCAGCUCAAGACACUUCAUCAGGGUUCACUUCUGUGAUAUCAAGAGUGAAUCACAAAAUCCCGACUCCGAUUUCUAUCUCUAUGUAAACGGACAAUCACGACUAGAUGUAAAGCCUUCAGAGCGUNNNNNNNNNNNNNNNNNNNNNNNNNNNNNNNNNNNNNNNNNNNNNNNNNNNNNNNNNNNNNNNNNNNNNNNNNNNNNNNNNNNNNNNNNNNNNNNNNNNNAUAUAAAUCAUAAAUAUUAUUUAUUUAAAAUUCUACUUGAAAAGCCUUUAAAUAAAGUAACUUAAACUUGUAUAAGUAGUAUAUUUUAUAUAUAUAAAAAAUAAAUUUGUAACUAAAAAAGUGAUAAUAGAGAUUUUAAUAUUAUGGUGGUUUAUUUUUGUUGUUAAUGGAGAUUUUUUAUUUUUAACCAUAAUAUUAGGAUUUGGAAACUUUUUUGAAUUUUUAAAUGUUGAUAUGGAUGCCUUAAAAAUAAUAUGGCUAAACUGUUAUUAAUAAUAGAAUAGUUUAAAUUACAAAUUUUCCUAUAUUGUUUUGUAUUACCAAUGUAAUUUUAUAAUUUAAAAACUUUUUAAAUUUUAAUUAUUGAUGUAGACUAAAAACAUUGACCUUUUACAUGUUAUGUGGAUGUCUUUGGAAGCAUAUAGCUUCAGCUUUUAUUUUUCUAUAAAUAUUUUUUUUGUUAACAAUACAGUUUUAAAAUUUGAAAAUUUUCUAAAUUUUAGAUAUUGAUAUAAACCAAUAGAAUUGAAAUUUUAAAUCCUAUGUGGACACUCUUAGAGGUAUAUAGCUUCAGGUUUUAUUUGUAAUAUAUUUAGAUAUUAACACUGGAAGAUCCCACACGAGGCCCAUUGCGGUAAGUGAUUUUGGUUUCUCCUCUAUGUUUUGAGGCUUACGGAAUGUAUUCUGAUACUGUUUGAUUCAGCUAAUUGUUACCUUUGUGGUUCAGGUUGGAUUGCUAAACCCUUGUCAGACACCAUGUUAUUCCAAAGAUUUUCCUCGGAUACCUCAGUCUCUUCGCCUUAAUGCAGAACUUCUUUCUCUAUUUCUAGUGGUUCGUUUUUCAAAAAUUUUGGGUAUCAAUCACUUGACAUGUUUCUCGGAUUACUUGAAAUUUAUCAUUCUUCUCAAAUCUGGUGGCAAAACUUUAGAGAUUUUACAGUCUCUUUUUCAAUAUUAAAACAGCUUGUAGUGUCUUUGUUUUCAUCAUAAUCAUUUUAAUUUAGCUAAUAGUUAAACAUAUAGUUUAGUCAAGUUGGUUCUUAAUUUUACAUUGUAAUGAUUCAUUCUUUAGUGAAACCUAUCUCUAUUUUUUUGCUUUUUUAAUUGAAAUGGUUGUACAUACAUAAAAAAAACUUAAAAUUUAUUAUAGUUAUGUGAAAAAAAUUUGGAUGCUAAUGUAGGAGUAUGUAAAUAAAUUUAAAUAUUUUAUUUGUUCUUAAUUAUUUAUAUAAUUGAAACAUCUAACUUAAAUUUAAAUUUUCCUAUUUUAAAAUAUUUAUUUUAUUUUUAUUAUUAUUAAUAUAAAUUAUAUAUAUAAUUUAUUCAUCUUUAAUAAAAUUUUAAAACAAUAAUAGAAUUUAGAAACUUUUUUUAUUUUUAAUGUUGAGGUGGACCAAUAAAAAAUUUAUACAAAAUUUCUUUAUUAAACAAUAAUAUUAGAAUUUGUAAACUUUCUUAAUUUUUUUAUUUAACACUAAUAUUAAAAUUUGGAAAUUUUCUUAAUUUUGAAUGAUGAUGUGGACCAAUAAAAUUCUUAAUUUCCUUAUUUAAUAAUAAUAUUAAAAUUUGUAAAUUUUCCUAAUUUUGAAUGAUAAUGUGGGCCAAUAAAAUUGUAUUUUUUAAUCCUAUGUGAACGCCUUGAAAAGCUUAUAGCUUCAUGUUUUAUUAGUAUAAGAUUAUAUGCAAAUCUUAUAUUUUGCGUCCAUGCUAUGCGUGGAUAUUUGGUCGAUAAAAAUUAUAUUUAUCAAUAUAAAAAUUUUCUAUAUUAAUGUUUUAAUUAUAUAUUUAAAAUAUUAUAAUGUUAAUCUAAUAAUUUUUAUGUAAAUUAUAAGGUUUUAACGGUUUUUUUAAUCUAUAUAUAAUAUGUUAUAUUUCAAAAACGUAUUAUUUGGUCAAACACUUAUAAGUAAAAUUUUACAAAUUAAUCAAAUGCUAAUUUUAAAUAUAGUAUUGACAUGAUGAUAAAAUAUUAUACAUUCACUUUUUUAAAUCAUGAAGAUAUUUUUUUUUAUCAUUUUCACUUUUAUUUCAAUUAUAUAUGUGUUUUUUAAAAACAAUAAAAAUAAUUAUAUUUAAUUUUUUUUCCUUCUCUUGUAAUUAACUAAUAAAUAAAAUAUUUGCUUUUGAGGUUAAUAAUAACUAUAAACUUGAAAUCAAAACAGCAUAUGAAUAUAAAAUGAAUAAAAUCACUAAAAAUUUUUGAAUUAAAUAUAUUUUUGAUAAUUGGUUGUGUAAAAUUUUAAAUAAUUUUUUAAUUAUUAUUCCUCAUCUCUUCUAAUGAGAAUGAAAAAAAAUUUCAUCAUGUUCAUUUUUAUUUUUGUUAUAUCUGUUUUUUUAUGAAUAUGUCAUAUUUGUAUAUUUUAAUGAUUUGUGUAUGACUAUAUUCAGUUUCAUCAUAUUCAUUUUUACUUCUUUGAAUUAUAAUUAAGUAGGCAAAAUCGGUAUAAUUAAAUACAUUUAAUUUUUUAAAAAAAAAAAAAAUUGAACAACUCAAAACAAAGAGUUUCUACAUUAAUCUAUUGCAAUUCCAAGUCGAAUUUUUUUUAAAAAAAGAAAAUUUUGAUUAUUUUUCAGUAAUAUAUUACAUAAUAUUAUGUGAAUAUAUGUAUUGCAUAUGUUAAAACAUUUAUAUGAAUAUAAAUUAUAAUUAUUAGUUAUUUAAAAUUCAAUGUGAAAACCCUUAAAAUCAAGUAACUAAACUUGUAUAAGUAGCAUAUAUUUGUUUUGUAGAUGAUAAAUUAUAUUUGUAACUUAAACAGUGUUAAUGGAGAUUUUAAUAUCAUUUUGGUUUUUUGUGUUGUUAACAGAGAUUUCUUUAUUUUUUAAUUUAUUUUUUAACUAUAAUAUUAGAAUUAAGAGUUUUUUAAUUUACAUUUUUGUUAUAUACAAAUAAAAUUGAUAAUAGAAUAAUAUAACUUUAACUAUUAUUAAUAAUAGAAUAAUUUUAACUAACACUUUUACCUAAAUUGUUUUGUAUUAACAAUAUAAUUUUAUAAUUUAGAAUUUUUUUAAAACUUUAGUUAUUAAUGUAGACUAAUAAAAUUGACCUUUUAAAUCUUAUGUGUAUGUCCUUACAGGCAUAUAGCUUCAAAUUUUAUUUUUCUAUAAAUAUAUUUUUUUGUUAACAAUAUAAUUUUAAAAUUUAGAAAUUUUUUUAAAUUUAAAUAUUAAUAUGGACUAAUAAAAUUAAACUUUUAAAUCAUAUAUGGAUAUUCUUAGAGAAAUAUAGCUUUAAAUUUUAUUAAUAAUAGAUUUAGGAAUCAAACAUGGAGGAUGCCACACAAGGCUCGUUGCGGUAAUUGAUUUUGAUAUUUUCUCCUUGUUUUGAGGUUUACCGAAUGUAUUUGGAUGAUGUUUGGUCAGCUAAUUGUUACUUUUAUGGUUAAAAUUAGAUUUUUAAAAUCCUAUAAAAUGCCAUGUUAUUUUAAAAAAAAUUUUCGGAUAUCUUAGUCUCAUUCGUCUUAAUGACAAAACUUCUUUCUCUAUUUUCAGUGUUUUGUUUUUCAAAAGUAUCGAGUAUCAAUCACUUGACAUGUUUCUUGGAUUGGUUGGAAUUUAUCAUUCUUCUCAAAUUUGAUGGCUAAGCUUUAGAGAUUUUAUGAUCUUUUUUUCAAUAUUAAAGCGGCUUGUAGUGACUUUGUUUAUAUCUUCUUUCAUUAUAUUCUUUGUAAUUUAGCUAAUAGUUAAAAAUAUAAUUUAGUCAAGUUGAUUGUAUUUUUUUGUUUUUGUUAAUUUGAAAUAGUUGCACACAUAGAAAAAUUGGACGCUAAUGUAAGAGUCUCUAAAUAUGUAUGUAUAAAUCUAAUUUAAAUUUAUAUUUUCAUAGUUUAAUAUUAUUAUUUUAGUUUUUAUUAAUAUAAAUUUUAUAUAUGAUUUAUUUAUCUUUAAUAAUUUUUAAAAACAAUAAUAAAAUUUAGAAACAUUUAAAUUUUCAAUAUUGAGGUGGACCAAUAAAAAUUUUAUACAAAAAUUUCCUUAUCCAUCAAUAGUAUUAAAAUUUGUAAACUUUCCUAAUUUUCUUAUUCAGCAAUAAUUUUAUAACUUGUAAAUUUUCCUUAAUUUUGAAUGUUGAUGUGGACCAAUAAAAUUACUCUUUUAAAUCCUAUGUAAAAACCCUUAGAGCAUGGCAGUUUUACACAGGUUCUAAGGUGGGGUUUAUAAGUUUUUUGGAUUUUAAAAAAAUGAAAAAAGCCCAAUAUCUCGUGAACCGGUUCUUGUUUUAGAGUUUUUGGAGACUGUAUUUAGAAGGGUUCAUAAGUGACGUGUCUGCUUCUCAUUCGUUCAACAAGAAAUUUUUUUACGCUCUCUCUCCUCUUCCACUUUCUCUGGUUUUUCGUUUAUGUCGACAUUUAUUUCUCCUCUUCCAACCACGAUUUUUUCUCUGGUGAUUUCAGAUCAUGGGCUAAAAAAAUGAAAGCUUUGCAUGAACCCACUUGAAAAAGAGCUGGGAUUUUCAUUGGAAUCAAAGCAUCACUCUUUCCUCGAUCAUUGUUACAAAUCGAACAGACGGUAAUGCCGGAGGCUCAAUUCCGAGAUAAAUUUGAUCACGUCGAUUUCUUUCUGGUUUGUUACGUGUUUGAACUGCCAAACCAAUUCAUUCAUUAUAUAAAAUCAAAACCGAGAACAUCAUACUUGAGAUCACUGUUCUUCUUUUGCUUCAUAGUUUGUGAAGGAAAAUUAAACAAAAAAAAUUUUAGAUUUCAUCAAACCCAGUUUAAGAACCUCUAAUGAUGUUCACCAUUGGAGGAAUAAAAAACUUUGGAGUUCUAAACCAUUCUUUAAUCAAAAAUAAAUUAUUAAAAAAUAGCUAUGAACCCCAAGAGGAGGUUCACCAUUACUGGUGCUCUUAGAAACAUAUAGCUUCAACUUUUAUUAGUAUAAGAUGUUUUCUCAUUUUUUUAUUUUAAAAUAUAUCUACUGAUCUACAUAUUUGAUUUACUAAGGUUAUUUUCUUAUAACGUAUCUCGGACUUGGAAAAUAUCAUGAAUGUGAAUUCAAAACAUUGAUUUGACAAACUUUUUCUCUCUCGAAGCUCUUUCGCGUGCUUCCGUCUUGGUGGUCUUCUCCGGUUAUGGCGCUCAUCGCUGGACUGUGAGAAGGCCACCCCAAGGUUAGUUUUGUAAUUCGCGCCCAUCAUCGACGGAAGAGGUUCAUCGGCGGUGGAUUUGGAGGCGACCUAUUCUUCUCUGCAGUACUGUGGCAUGGAAAACCAGCGCGACGAGCGGCUGCGGAAGCUUGGUGGCCUUGACAAAGUGGUGUUGUGGAGUCUCAGUGAUUUGUCUCUGAUCAAGGGCGGCGGAGUGUUUCAUUGGAGAUCUUGCCGCAGUUCUAUCGAGGCUUAGAGAGGCAACUUGUUUUCGCUAGUUUGGUGGGUUGGGCCGUUUGUCGGGGACAGUUCUCCUGGUCGACGGUUGGAUCUACCUAAGGAUGGCGGUUCCUCUCGGUGGUGUUGUCAACUUGUCGGAGUCGGAUACUGUUCCUUACCGGAUUGAAGAUGGUGGUUCACGUGGUAAAAAAGAGGAGAUGUGCAUCGCGCGGCGGUGUUGGUUUCGAAGGAAGAGAAAAUCUGUGUGUCGGUUACUGGAUCUGGUGGUAGUCGACGAUUUGGCCGUGGGUUAUUCCAUGCUUUUGGUCAUGUCACUCCGGGAGUAGGAGUAUUCGGAAUCUUGCUGUGAACGGAUCUGGUUUCCGAAAUUGGACAACCUAGUUUCCAGUUCCUUAAAGGCGACGAUAGCUCUGCGCCGUUCUCGCAUACGCUGGAGGAAGAUAUGCAUGGGCUCGAGCUACUUUUCCCAAUCACAGAUUUAAUCUUAACCUAGUCCAUACGCUUUACCUUAGCCUAUUUCCAAGUCUUUUUUCAUUUUUUUGUUCAGGUUUACCACCGGCGGAGAUGUACUGUUCCGAUACCCUUUUAGGAAUUUUAUUAAUAAAAAUAUAUAUUUUUUUAAAAACAUUCAUUUUGACACGUUUCGACAUUUCAUAGUUUAUAAAACUGUCACAUACUCACAUGGUUUUUGUGAUAUGCUUACAACUAAUAAAUGUCUUUGGUACAAUUGUUUUUCAAUUUUUAGUUCUACCAAUUUUUAUUAUUUUUACGAUAAAAGUUAUCAUUUUAAAAAUAUGUUGAUUGUCACUAGUUCAGUGUUUUAUAUGGGAAAAUGGUCAAAAUUAAUCGAACUAAAUUUGAUGUGUCGAAAAAAAUCCGAACUAAAAUACGGUGCUAAUAACUAUCUAAACUCUAAAUAAUUCAAAUUUCCUAUCUGAAUUCUAAUAUAUGUGUCAAAAUCUAUCUUGACUAACUUUGACAUUAGUAACUGUUAAAAAAUGCUAACGAGGCAUGCUGACGUUGUCAUUUUAAUAAAACGAUAUUUUUUUUGUUGUAAAAAAAAUCAAAAACUUAUCCUCUUACCAGAACUUGACUUUUUAAUUUGUAGUUAAAUGUGUGGACCAGUUGAACCGUGAAACAAUAUUAAUACUUUUUACAAACAUAUUUAUAUAUUAUUGAUAUGCUGCAACAUUACAAUCAUGAGACCUAAAGAGAACAAGUAACAUCCCGUGGAUUAUCAAAGCCAUUACAAAAAGUAACCUGUUUGCUCUAUCGAGAUCUAAAGAGAACGAAUUCUCACCCAAAAUCGAUUUUCUCCUUUUGUUAAGCUUCUUCAAUCUCGUUUUUCUUCUACGGUUUUUUGGUUUUCUCUGCCAGAAUUGGUAGAGAGAGAAUGGAGAAGACGAAGUUGUUGCUGCUGCAAUUCUCCGAACUCAACAUCGAACACAGUUCCCGAUUAAUUGCAGCCUCUCAAUGCUCCAACAAUGGAAUUCGAUGAAGAAGAAGAACUCUCUAACCCUAAUUCGAUUUUGAGGGUGUAUUUUAUCCCCAAUUUAAUAUGUGGUCGUUUCGUUAAUUUUUUUUUUCGAGUUUAGACAUAUAUAUCAAUAACAUAUAAAUGUAUUUGUAAAGAAAAUCAAUAAUAUCUCACGGUUCAGUUGGUCAUUGCUUAAAUGGGGUUUACAAUGGCGCAGAUUGAAGUCCAAGGAAUAGAAAAAAUUUAGAUUUUUUUUAACAACGAAAACGACGUCGUUUUAGUAAGGUGACAACGUGUCAUGCCAAGUCAUAUUCUAUCAUGCCUCGUCAACGUUUUUUAACAGUUGAUUAACGUCAAAGUUAGUCAAAGUAGAUUUUAACACAUAUAUUGGAGUUCGAAUAGGAAAUUUGAAUUAAUUUGGAGUUCAGAUAGUUAUUAGCACCGUAUUUUAGUUUAGAUUUUUUUUAGCAAAUUUAGUUCGGGUUGGUUUUGGCCAUUUUCCCAUGUUUUAUAUAUAUAAGAUUUUAUUGGUUCAUGUGUUUCAAAUAAUAUCGAUCUCCAAUCAAAAUCUUGUUCAUUGGAUUAUCGAUGUAAGAAUUAUCGUCAAUAUCUUAUAUUAUUAGUUUAACAACUUAUAUGUACUUGUUGAAAUCUGGUGUCUUUAAUUCAACACAUCGACAACACCAAGAAAAACAAAAAAAUUGUAAUAUCUAAUGGAUCACUUUUUCCUCAUAAUUUUAUCUUUCUUGGUCUUCUCCAUCCUUUCUCUAAAACGUUUGAUCGGUAGAUGGCGGAACAAGUUUAACUUACCUCCAACUCCAGCUUGGUCACUGCCGGUGAUUGGUGAUUGGUGUAGAAAGUAAAUUUUGAGGAGAUAAAUAUUGCAAUAUAAGAAAACAAAUUGAGACAUAGAAAAACAUUUUAUAAAAGCGGAUUAAGGAAAAAUGAGAAAUGGAGGCGAGAUGAUCUCUUUCCUUAAUUCAAAAUAUCUCCCGCAGUGUGGCGGUUAGAUGAGAUAAUGAAUCCCAUGAUACAACCACUGAUAUUCGUAUAAUCGCAGCACCCGAUUAUUGAUAACACCGGAUUUUGACUAUUUUUAUGGAUCAUUUUAAUAUCUUUUACAGGUGUUUUUACUCCAUUUUCAAAGGUUUUCAAAGGAUUUCUAUAUUUUCGGAUUUUAAAAGACUUUUCAGGUAAUGUGGGAUAAAGAGGCACAAAAUAGAACAAAAAGACUCUUUUGGAUAAAUGCAGACCGUCAGAACUUUCAUGGAGAGACGAAGACCUUCUCACCGUCUGAUCACCCUCAAAAUUGGACAACUUAUAGAAGAAUCAACCAGCUUUCAAAUGCACUUAGUUUGGAGACAUUACAACGGUUGGAUCUCAAGAUAUUCCAUUAGCCCCGGAGCCACGCGGAGUCGGCCAGCAACUCACGCGACCGCGGCCAACAAGCUAUUUGCCGCGGUCAGAAGCUUCCCGAUCGCAGCCAACAAGCCAAUUGCCGCGGUCACAACACUCCCGACCGCGGCAUUCAACCUCCGACUUAAAGCCCACUUAUCUGAAGCCCAAAGUCAUUCCCAGCCUCAAUUCCGGAACCCUAGAGACCAUGGAGUAUUGGAGACUAUAAAUACAUGUCAUUUAGGUCGUUUUUAGAGAGAACCCUAGAUACUUUACAGAAACCCUUUUCUUUUAGCCGUUUUUAUGAGAUUUUUGUAGAAGAUUUUUCAAGUCCGAGUUCUUCAAUAGAGAAGCUUUCUUUAUCUCUUUUCUUUACUGUUUUUCAUUACUUUUAUUAAAACCAAUGAUGAUGUCGAACUCAGCCAUGUCUGAGUAGAUCCCGAGUUGGGCUUAGGGUUCCCGAAAGGGGCUCUCAUAAUCGAUUAAAAAAUUAGAGAUUGAUGUGUUUCUAGGGACAAAAGACGAUGACUUGAAAAAUCAACCCUGGUCUUUUCCCUUAUUGUCCCAUUAGAAAUCUCAGUUUUCUCUUCAAUCUUAUCUUCUUCCUCAGAAUCCUCUUCACAUCGACCACAGGUGUCUUCAUCCAUCGACUUAUUGAAAUUUCUUCUAGUAUAAGUUAAACCAAAAUGUGUGGAAACUGACUAUUCAACACAAAAGACUUUUCACUCUCUUCGUUCAACGUGAAUAACACUUCGUAGCAAAUGACUAGAUGGUGAGCCAAGCGAAGCUGAGUGGAAAUGGAGCACUGACUAUAUGUAUAUAAAGAGAUGGCAUGAAACCAAUUUAACCAUCACAAUUUCCAUUUGGUCGCUUCUUUUUCACUAUUGAUUUUCAAGAAAGUUAAAAAUUAGCUUAAAGAAAUAACGAAAGGCUCUUGAAACUCAAUGAGUACCAUUCAUAUUUCUCUUUCUUUUCUCCUCUUGUUCGUUUUUUAUUUUCAUGACGUGUUUGCGUCUCCUACUAGACACUUGUGUCGUCCAGAACAAAGGGAUGCACUUCUCGAGUUCAAGAAUGAGUUUGAGAUUCGGAAGCUUUCUUUUUUUCAGUGUUAUGUUAAUGGUAGCGUUGUUAUUGGAAUGGUAUCAAGUGCGAUGCCAAAUCUGGGGAAGUGAUCGAGCUAGACCUCAGUUGCAGCUGUCUCUACGGCAAGUUGCGUUCCAAUACCUCUGUUUAGGCUUCACAGCUUUUGUUUUCUCACCACUUUAUACCUUUCAUAUUAGGUCCCCAAAUCCCGUUCUCAAUUGGAAAUCUUUCUCUUCUCACUUCUCUCGACCUUUCUGAAUAUGGGUUUUCGGGUCAGAUUCCAUCUUCAAUUGGAAAUCUUUCACAGCUCACCUCGCUUGAACUUUCUUCCAAUCAGUUUUCGGGUCAGAUUCCAUCUUCAAUUGGAAAUCUUUCACAGAUCACCACUCUCCGUUUUUCCUUUAAUCAGUUUUCGGGUCAGAUUCCGUCUUCAAUUAAAAAGCUCUCUCAUCUCGAAACUCUUGACCUCAGUCAUAACAGACUCACUGGUGAAAUCCCAGAUUCUUUUGCCAGUUUGAAAAAUUUGACCGAGUUAAAUGUUAGUUUCAAUAAGCUUAGUGGUAAUUUUCCAAUUUCACUUCUAAAUUCGAUCAACUCACAGGAACGCUUCCUCCAAACAUUAGCUCACUCUCCAACUUGGAGUGGUUUUAUGCAUAUGACAACGAUAUAGUUGGAACCAUUCCUUCUUCUCUCUUCACCAUUCCUUCUUUGACACAAAUUGAUUUGUCAAAUAACCAACUGAACGGCAUUCAUGAGUUUGGGAAUAUACCUUCACCAACAAAGCUAGUGAGGUUAGAGCUUGGCGGUAACAACUUGAGAGGGCCAAUCCCGAGAUCCAUUUCCAAAUUAGUCAACCUCUAUUACCUUGACCUUUCCAAUUGGAACACCCAAUUAGGCCCAAUUGACUUGAGUAUCUUCUCGCAUCUCAAGUCACUCCGAUUUCUUGGCUUAUCCCAUUUGAACACCACCACUACGAUUGACUUGAAUGCCAUCUUAUCAUUUUUCCAGUCGCUUGGAUCAUUGGAUCUCUCAGGGAAUCAUGUUUCAGCCGAAAACAAGAGCUCAGUUUCAGAUCCUCCUUCGCAAAUGAUUAGUUCUUUAAACUUGUCAGGCUGCGGUAUUACCGAAUUUCCAGAGAUCAUAAGAACCCAACAGUCUAUGAGAUUUCUAGACAUUUCCAACAACAAAAUCAAAGGUCAAGUGCCUGGCUGGUUAUGGACGCUACCAGAUCUGGAGUACGUGGAUCUUUCCAACAACACUUUCGUCAGUUUCGAAAGACCAACGAAACAUGGACUAUCCUCUGCCUUUAUGUACUUGUUUGGCUCCAAAAACAAGUCUAAGGUCCCUUGACGUUGGUCAUAACCAACUGGUGGGAAAGCUUCCAAGAUCUUUGAUCCAUUUCUCUGCCCUUGAAGUUCUUAAUGUGGAAAGAAACAGAAUCAACGACACGUUUCCGUUCUGGUUGAGUUCUCUACAAAACCUGCAAGUUCUUGUCUUACGCUCCAAUGCAUUCCAUGGACCGAUUCAUCGAGCCUCCUUCCUUCAGCUCCUUCCUUCGCAUAAUCACUUCAACGGAACUUUGCCAUCGGACUAUUUUGUGAGCUGGAGUAAAAUGUCAUCACUUGGGACAGAGGAAGGUCGCUCAGAUCUAUACUACAUGGGAAAUGCAUAUUACGAAGAUUCAAUGGUCUUGAUGAAUAAAGGUGUACCAUUAGAGCUGGUACGUAUCCUUGAAAUCUACACAGCACUCGACUUCUCCGGAAACAGGCUUGAAGGAGAGAUUCCAAGCACCAUCGGCCUAUUGAAAGAGCUUCAUGUGCUCAACUUGUCAAACAAUGCUUUCACUGGCCACAUUCCAUCAUCUAUGGGUAACCUGACAGCUCUCGAGUCACUUGACGUUUCUCAAAACAAGCUUUCAGGAGUGAUCCCACAAGAGCUAGGGAAUCUCUCGUACCUUGAAGUCAUGAACUUCUCCCAUAACGCAGCCUUGCUCUUCCUUCGAAGACAACCCUGGACUUUUUGGCCCUUCUCUUGACGAAGUUUGCAAAGAUAUACACAAGACAUCAUCGCAAGAGAAUGAAACACCGGAGGAGGCAGAGGAAGAAGACGAAGAGGUGUUUAGUUGGAUUGCAGCUGCAAUAGGAUUUGGACCAGGCAUUGUAUUAGGACUGACGAUUGGAUACAUAUUGGCCUUCUACAAACCGAGGUGGUUCACGAGUCCUUUUGGCCGAAACAAACACAGAAGCAGAAGCACCACAGCUCAUUAAGAGAGGUAAUCUUCUGAAUUUCAUAGAUUAAAGACUAUGUAUAAUAUAACGAAAGUUUCUGGGUUAAUGUAUACUGUAUGUGAAAAUUAACUUUUUACGCCGUUUUUGUUUGUAUAGCGUUCUUAAACCCAAGAUGAAGAAUCUUUGAAAAACAGAAUGAAGCAACCAGACCAUAAGUAGAGAAGAAGCUUGGGGGAGAAGGCAACUCAUUUUAUCAAAGUCUAAAUAUCAGUGAUCGUUUCCGGUUUAGUUUGGUGUGUUUAUCAUAUACUCUGUUUUUAGCCAAUGUUUGUGUUUCUCUGUAAUUGAACAAUGAAAGAAUGUUUACAAAGCUCAAACUUAUUCCCAUUUCUCUGUGAUUGGACAUGAUUUGAGAGAGGUAAUAAUGUUCUUGCUCCGAAUAAAUCAAUCAUUCUUCUGCCAAAUGAAGAACUAAGAUUCAACACACAUCUCAGAAAAUUGAUCCUUUUUCUCUUUUGGUAAUAUUAAUUAGCUGAGUAAAAUGAUAACUUAAUUAGUUUAUUGAAAGAUAUUUCACUGAGAAAUAUAUUAGUUAGUGGCGAUCAGGAUCAGCGACCAAUUAAAGCUAUAGAUAUAGUUGCUUAAAACCCAAGCUUUGCCAUUACAAUGAGGAAAAAUCAUCUCACAAAUCAUUCCACUUUCCAACUAAUGAAACUCUACAAUAGUCAAAUGACUCAAAUCGGAAUUAGAAAGUAUACAUACACACAUAAUUUAAGGUCACAAUGACAAAAUCUUCGGUCUUACCAAUAAGAGUAUAAGUAUUCAUCAAAAGACAUCUUCUAAAAUGGAUUAUAUUAAAAAAAUUUGGUGAAAACAAACAAGAAAUUUUUACUGCUUAAUUCUUUUUGUUUUUAAAAACCAAAAGGUAAAUGGAAGUCGCUCUAAUUUUUACUUAUAAACCAAAACAAGAAAUUUUCAGUUAUAUCGUUCUAAGAUAAUGCAAUUGAUAGUAUAAUCUAUACUACUCUAUACUCCACUGAUACUUUUUCGUUUUUAAGCAGACAACUUUUCAGAGUACAAAUCUUUUGUUAUUUUUAUUCCUGGGAGAUGUAUAUCCUAUAAACAAAACUGUGUUAAAUGGAAGGACUUCAUGGACACCAAAACCAGAGGAGAAACGAAGACAGACGGUUUAGAAAUAUUUUGAUCACAUCAAAAAAAUAUAAUUCGAUAAUUUUUAUCAGAUUACAGCAUCACAAAGUCAGUGCAAAAUCAUAUAAAAAAAAUUCGAAUAAAGAAAAAACGUAUCAUGCCAAACGAAACCAAACAAAUAAAUAGAUAACAGUUGACUGACCGAGUCAGUCAUGGACAAAAACGAAGACUUGAAAAGUCAACUCCGGUCUUCUUCCUUAUUGUCCCACCAAUAAUUUACUUUUUUUCCUUCAAUCUCAUCUUCUUCCUCAAUCCUCUCAACAUCGAUCACAUAUUUCUUCAUCCAUUGACCUCAAAAACUUGAUUUUCACUAUUGACUCUCUUUCUUUCUCUCUCUCUCUAGAUUUUCCAACAAAGCUAUGGAGAAACUCUGUUUUCGAAACUCAUUUUCUCGCUUUAUGACGACUGUGGUCAUUGUUCUUCUUCCUCGUUGCACUCUUUCUGCUACUUCUACAUAUUCUCAUCGUCCCGAGAAGUUUUACGUCAACUGUGGGUCGGAUUCUAUUGUCACUUAUGGUGGUCGGACCUUCGUCGGAGAUAUGAUCUCCGGUGGUAACUCCGUUUCUUUCAACAGUAAAGGAACUGAAGCCAUCAACCAAUCAGGAUCAGGAAUCUAUGAAACGGUUAGGAUAUUCAGACGCCCUUCUUCUUACAAGUUCCAACUCGAUUCCAUUGGUCUGCACUUCGUGCGUCUCCAUUUCUCUGCUGUCUCUUCUCGGACAGAGCUUUUAACUGCUCGUUUCACAGUCUCAGCUACUUCUCACCUGAAAAGUUUCUCGCUUCAGAAUUUCAAUGAGACCCCACGAGUUGAGGAGUUUCUCCUGAUGAUUGACUCGCCAGAAUUCGAAAUUCGAUUUGUGCCCUAUCAUUCAUCCAUGGCUUUUGUCAACGCCAUCGAAGUGUUCUCUGCUCCUAAUGACCUCGAAAUUCCGUCAGACUCCGACAAGAAUCUGCAUACGGUUUACAGAUUAAACGUAGGAGGCAAGAAUAUCACACCAGAAAACGACACCUUGGGAAGAACUUGGUCAGUUGACGAGGACUUCCUCUACGAAAAAGAUUCUGCGAGGAACAUUAAUUCAACACAAAAGCCUAACUACGAGUCAGGGACAGCGACGCCAUUCACUGCUCCUGAUUUUGUCUAUCAGACAGCGAAAACGAUGAACCAUAGCUCGAAUGAGGGGAUGGCAGAUGGGAUGUUGAUGAACGUUACUUGGUCAUUUAAGGUCAAUAGCAACUCUAGACACUUCAUCAGGGUUCACUUCUGUGAUAUCAAGAGUGAAUCACAAAAUCCCGACUCCGAUUUCUAUCUCUAUGUAAACGGACAAUCACGACUAGAUGUAAAGCCUUCAGAGCGUAUUAGGUUGGUGACUCCGUUUUUCAAAGAUGUGAAUGUCUCUGAUGGUUUUGGACUCUUGAAUGUUACAAUAGGUACUAAGGAUUCCACUAAGGAUGCUGGUUUUCUGAAUGGUCUGGAGGUGAUGGAGUUUUUGAAAAAGUCAGAUUCUUCAGAUAAAAGUAGUUUCCGGGUUUACAUCAUCGCUGGCUGUGUUGUUGCUGCAUCGGUUCUGGUAUUGAGUUUGUUGUUCACAGUUUUCUUGAAGCGGAGGAGAUCGAAGAAGGAGAAUAAGUCAGACGCUGAGGUCACUGAAUGGUCUCCUUUGCCAUUGUACAGAGGUGGUGGGAGUUCCGACAAUAGACCUUCUGAUCCGGUCAACAAUUCUCCAUUACGCAGCAAUAGAACUUUUGAUCCGGUCCAUAAUUCGCCAUUACGCAACCUAAACUUAGGCUUGACCAUUCCCUUCAUAGACAUUAUGAGAGCUACAAACAAUUUCGAUGAGCAGUGGUUGAUCGGGAGAGGCGGUUUUGGAGACGUUUACAAAGCCAUUCUUCAAGAUGGAAGCAAAGCGGCUAUCAAGAGAGGCAAGAGUGGUUCAGGACAAGGACUAUUGGAGUUUCAAACAGAGAUUCAAGUCCUGUCGAGAAUCCGGCACAGGCACCUCGUUUCUCUAACGGGUUACUGCGAAGAGAACUCGGAGAUGAUCCUUGUCUACGAGUUUAUGGAGAAAGGUACGCUUAAAGAGCAUCUAUACGGCUCGGAUUUGCCUUCACUGACAUGGAAACAGAGACUAGAGAUUUGCAUCGGAGCAGCUAGAGGUUUGCAUUAUCUCCACAGUGGCUCAGAAGGAGCAAUCAUUCACAGAGAUGUCAAAUCCACAAACAUACUACUAGACGAGAACACCGUAGCCAAAGUCGCGGAUUUCGGGCUCUCAAACUCGCGGUUCGUAAUCAAGAUCCAAUCAAUAUCAGCACUAACAUCAAAGGAACAUUCGGUUACCUCGAUCCUGAGUAUCUGCAGACACACAUCUUGACGGAGAAAUCAGAUGUUUACGCUUUCGGAGUCGUUCUCCUCGAGGUCCUGUGCGCGAGAUCGGCUCUCGAUCCUUCUCUUCCUCACGAGGAAGUGAAUCUAGCGGAGUGGGCGAUGUUCUGCAAAUCCAAAGGGAUAAUCGAUGAGAUCUUAGAUCCGAAAUUGAUAGGUCAGAUCGAGCCGAGUUCGUUGAGGAAAUACAUGGAAAUCGCGGAGAAGUGUUUGAAAGAGUACGGCGACGAGAGGCCGAGCAUGGGGGAUGUGAUCUGGGAUCUGGAGUAUGUUCUUCAGCUUCAGAUGAUGCCGAUUCGCAGAGAGCCUCACGAGGAUAGCGCCGCGACGAUCUCCGGCGGCGGAGGCGAAAGCUCGUUGGUGAUUCCGAGGUUGAUGGUGAGUGAUUCGUUUAGCUCAAACUCGAUUGUUCAGAAGAACGAAGGGAAGAGUAGCUAUGGAGGUACAGAUUCAUCGGAGAGUCGAGUUUUCUCCCAAUUGAAGAUCUCCGAAGCAAGAUAAAAUUUCCUAUGAAACAUUCUGAUUUGAAAAGCGUCUGGUUUAAAGCUUUUGAUAUUAAAAACCGGUUAUUGCCGGUUUAAAUAUAAUCAUUUUAAAACAUAUGCAAAGUAACGAGUCAAUUGAAUGUAAUAUAAAAUUAAAACCCGGUUAUCGUCGGUUUAAAGUUAAUUAUUCUAAGACAAAUGCUAAUUUCCGAAUCGAAAAACAAUUCAAUUUAAUUAACCGAUAAAAACCUAAUUUCAAGAAAAGUUCUGAUUUGAUAAGUGAUUGGUUUAAUUUUUGAAAUUGAAACCCGGUUCCUGCCGGUAUAACGACUCAGCUGUUUGUGAUGUCGGCGAUGAACGAGUCCAGAUUCCGAGCCGAUGAUCCACCAGACGCCAACGCCGAUCUCGCCGCGUGCUUCAGCUCCGUCACUCUCCUCCUCAUAUCCGCGGCGGCAGAUCCUUCCCUCACGGCCUCAAUACAUCUCUCCACCUCUUCAACCUUAAGCUCUCCGUCGACAGCGUCGUUCCUCAUCCUCACUCCGAUCCCGAACACAUCCACAAGCAAUCUCGCGUCAAGCGGCUGAUCAAUCCAGCUCGGGUACGCCACCACCGGAACACCAGUCACCACCGUCUCCAUCGUCGAGUUCCAUCCACAGUGCGUGACGAAACAAGAGAUCGCCACGUGACUCAGUAUCCACUCUUGUGGACCCCACUCAAUCACAAUACCUUGACCUUCUCUAACCAUCUCCUGCAAAACGUCGACGUUUUCGCCUUUCUCCUUUGGCCUAAUCACCCAGAGAAACGAAACUCCUCUGUUUCUCAGAGCCGUUGCUAUGCUCUUAACUUGAGUCUCCGAAGAUUUCAGCAAACUUCCAAAAGAAAUGUAAACAACCGAAGACCUAGCUUGCUUGUCAAGCCACUCCAUACAAUACUCAUCCGAUUUCCACAUAUCAAGAUUUUUACCAUCUAGGGUUUUGUCUUCUUCAUCAGCUCCCAACAGAAAUGGAGAAACCAGAGGACCAAUUGGGAUCAUGGGUUUUAAACCAGACAUCGAUUCGAUUAUCUCUGAUUCGAGCUCGUAGAACGAAUUAACCAAAACCCAUUUCACAUCUUUCAAGCAAUCGACGAACUCCACCAUUAGGCUAUUGAAAUGACUUCCUGAAGAAGGCAAGAGAAACGAAGGGAGAUCUCCAACUUCCAACAAUGGUAAACCUGGCAAUUCAACCGUUUGAUUCAAAUCUUCGAGAUUCUCAGGGAAAGCAUUCGUCUUCAUGUAGUAACGGUAAUAAACCGAGAAAGCUCCACAAGCUUCGAUCCAGAGGAUUGCACAGGGGAUGUUAUAUGCAGCUGCAACACUUGGAACCCAUGGAGCAAAAGGCACAGUGACGAUGCAAGAGAAUCUCUUUGAUUCGACGAUUUUAGACAAGUUCUUGGCUCCGACUUUUUUCAACGAUGGUAUGAGAGAAUCUGCGGCUCUUGUGUGGUCUUUAGGCAGACCGUCGGGGAAGAAAGCAAGGUCCACUGGGCUACGGUGAUGUUCUUCGGCGGCGGUGGUGGUGGAGAGGAGGUCACGGGUUUUCUCGGUGGUAGCGAGAGUGAAGCUAAGGUUUGGUCGUGAGAGAUGUUUGGCGAAUUUGAGCAUUGGAUUAAGAUGACCUUGAAAUGGUAGUGCUACCAAUAGAACAUGUGUUUCUUGACCCUCACUAUUUCUCAUUUCUGCUUUGUUUAGAGGUGUUACUUAUUAGACUUGAGUUGUGUAUGAGAUUGUGUGUAACUUGUAAUUGUGGUGGUAUAUAUAACAAUGGUUGCUUAACGAUAGAUUUUUGCUUAAAAUGAAGUUAUUAAGUGAGAUUUUGGUAAGAAAAAUCUAUAUAUAGUAAAAAUUGGUAACCCAAUAAAAUGUAAUAGAUUCAAAAGUUACCACGUUUAUUAGCACCCUGCGCCUUGUCCUUAACUCAAUUCAAAUCUUGUAUAAUUGUUGACCAAAAAAACACGAUAUAUAUACCAAUUCUAGUAUGGUUAAAGUCAACAGUCAUUACUAAUGAUUUAUGAAUCUUUUUGUAUAGUGUGACACUGAGAUCAUUGUAAUUUGUUAAUGACAAUCUAUAAACUGUAAUUGGUAAUCCAAUAAACGUUGGUCAAUAAAUUCAAAUUUAAUCAUGUGUUUCUAUGCUCUUGUAAAUAAAUAAAUAUAUGUUAUUUUCAAUUGUGUUAUGGUUAUGAUUAGAUUUAUAUAAAAAAUAUGGUUAUGAUUAGAUUUAUAUAAAAAAAAACAGGUCUCAAUUCAUUCGGAUCAGUCUCGUUUGUAUCUGUCUCACUUUUAGAUUUGAAAUCCGUUAAGCUCUAUUUAGUUUUUGGAACUAACAGAGUAAUCGGUUUAUACAUGCCAAAAUUCUUUUAAUCUAUUUAAAACCAUUUACGAUAUGAUGCUUAAACAUUCUUAAUAUUUAUUUUAAAUUAUAUAAACUAAGCUUUUGGAAGCUAAUCAGAAGCUAACACACCAGUAUAAUUACCAUUGUUUUUUUAUUAAAUAAUAAUUACCAAUGUUUCAAGGCAUGCUUGAAUAUUCCACUAAGAAAAAUCAUCGAAAUUGUUUAUACUAAUCUAAAAUCCUAGCAAAGGUGGGUGAAUCUUUUUUUUUAAAUAGUUAUACAUAUUUUCGAGAUGACAAAAUUUAACAAUAUGAUAAAAUCAUAUGAACACUCGAACAUUUAUGUAGAUUUUAGUUAUGUUAUAUAUCCAAGAAGAAAUGAAUAAUAUUAAGUAACAUCUAUUACAAAUAACAUAUCAAUUGGUAACAUCAGAUGGCAAAUCAAAUAACAUCAUUACGUAGUAAAUUCAUGUGCAUGCGUUACUAGCUAAGCUUGUAUUCACUUUAUAAAAGAAAAUACAAAAUAGCAAUAGCAAUAAUGAAGGGAAGAGCAGCUACGGAGGUACAGAUUCAUUGAUCGAAGAGUCGAGUUUUCUCCCAAUUGAAGAUCUCUGAAGCAAGAAAACAAAUAAUCUCUUGAAUCCUUCUGAUUUAAAUACCGACUGGUUUUAACUUUUGAUAAUAAAAUCCGGUUAUUGCCGGUUUAAAUAUAAACAUUUUUUUAAGUCGACAAAAAAAAACAUUUCAAAACAGAUGUAAAGUGAGUCAACACUAUGAUCGAUGACUUUCUAGUUGAUGAGAAACGUGCACAAAAAGAAAAGGGUAACACUAUGAUCGAUCACUUGCUUUCUCUCCAAGAAACUCAACCAGAUUAUUAUACGGAUGUCAUCGUCAAAGGACUCAUAGUUGUAAGUAUUGAGGAAUACAUUUAAUACAUCACUAACAACUAACAAGGCUAACUAAGCUUUUUAUAAUGACUAAUUCUUGACUUCUAUUUGGAUAGGUUAUGAUAUUUGCCGGAAAUGUAACAAGAACGUUAGAAUGGGCGAUGCUAAAUCUGUUGAACCAUCCAGAAGUACUAAAGAAAGCGAGGAUUGAAAUCGAUACAAACAUUGGUUUGGACAGGUUAAUAGAUGAACAGGAUGCGAAAAGUCUUCCUUACCUCCAAUGCAUCAUAUCAGAGAUUUUUCGACUUUACCCGGCAGCUCCUUUACUUGCUCCUCAUAGGGCUACAGAUGAUUGUAUAGUUGGAGGCUACGACUUCCCUCUUGGCACGACAUUAAUCGUGAACGUAUGGGCCGGCCAUUCACCGAGACCCAAACAUAUGGUAAGAGCCAGAAAAGUUCAAGUUAGAGCGGUUCGAGAAGAAAGGAGAAGAACAAAAGUUGAUGCCGUUUGGAAUGGGACGACGAGCUUGUCCCGGGUCUGGUCUAGCUCAACGGGUCGUGAGUUUGGCUCUCGGAUCGAUGAUUCAAUGUUUUGAAUGGGAGAGACUUGGAGAAGAAUAUGUUGACCUAAGCGAAGCAACCACAAUGCGUCCAACGACGCCGUUGCUAGCCAUGUGUAGAGCUUGUCCUAUUGUUCAUAAGAUUUUCAAUACUUCUUUUUGAGAUGUCACUCCCUUUUUAAAAAAUAUGUAUAUCCAUUUAUGUUAUAUCCAUUUUGAGAUGUAAUUAAAAUGAAAGACAAAGACUAGUCUUUGAUUUGCCUUAAGAUUUUCCAUUUUAUUAAAAUUCAAAAACUAUUUUUUUUUUUCAAAAACCAAAAUUUAGAAGUUAAAUGCUACUCCAUUAUCAAAUAAACUCACUUCUAAAUUUCUAUGAAUGAGGAGUAGUUUUUUACUUUGAGAAAGUGUGAAGAAAUUUUUCCAAUUUCUUAGUUUUUGUUUGUUUUUUUUUGAGAAAGGGUUAAGAAAAGGGAGCUUGUUUUAUAAUGGAAUCUCUCAUGCAAUUAUUCCCACCUGUCACUAGAGAUAUGUUCGUAACUUCGUAACGUCUCAUGCAAUUACUGACUAAUAAACAUGUGUGAUAAGUCACCAUUAAUAUUUAUUGUCUAUUUCUUUUGCUUUUAAUUAUUAGGGUUUUGAGUAGAAAUUUGUUUCUUUCUAAUAUUAUAGACAAUAUAUAUUGCUAGCGUUUACGUUUUUUAUUUUGGUUCAAAACAUAGUGGUUAAAAAUAAACAAAUCAUAAAUUUUUAUUAUUAGUCAUUAAUGAAUGAGAGACGUUACGAACAUAUCUUUAGUUUAUUAAAAAAAAAAAAAGAUAUCUUUAGUGACAGGUGUGAUAAUUGCAUGAGAGUUUUCAUUAUAAACUAAGCUACAUAAACUAAUAACUCCCACGUUCGAUUCAACACAUUUACAACAAGAAGAAGUUCUUGAUCUAAAAUGGAAACUUAUUUUCUUAUUUUAUCCCUCGCCAUCUUCUUUUUCAUUUCUCUUAAACUUUUGUUUAAUAAACCGCAUAACAAGUUUAACCUACCACCAAGUCCGGCGAGGCCACUACCGUUGAUUGGACACCUUCACCUCCUGAAGCAGCCUCUCCACCGCACAUUCCUAUCUUUCUCUCAAUCCCUCGGCAGUGCCCCAAUUUUCUCCCUCCGUCUUGGAAACCGUCUCGCGGUUGUCGUCUCCUCCUACUCCAUCGCAGAAGAAUGCUUCACGAAAAACGACAUCGUUUUGGCUAACCGACCAGAGUCCAUAGUCGGGAAAUACAUUGAGUACAACUUCACCACUGUGACCAGCGCGCCUUAUGGUGACCACUGGCGAAACUUGCGGCGUCUCAGCACCCUCGAGAUCUUCUCCUCGCACAAGCUCAAUGGCUUUAUAUCCGUCCGUAAGGACGAGAUCCGACACUUGCUACUUCGUCUCUCCAAAAACUCGCAACAUGUAUGUGAGCUUCUACAUAUUAGUACUCUAUGACUAUAUACAUUAUCAGAGUUUGUAACCUAGUAGUUUGUCUUAGUGUGGCCUCUAGGUCAUAACCUAUAUAUAUACAUUACUUGAAGAUCUGCUCAGAGUUUGUAACCUAGUAGUGUGGCCACUAAAUUAAAAGUCAUAACUUGAGUACCAUGCAACAAAAGUUUGAGAAUUAAUCAUUUGUUUAUUUGAUAAUAAAUUAGGGGUUUGCCAAGGUGGAGAUGAGAUCAUUGUUUAUGGAUUUGACUAUCAAUAACAUUCUCAGAAUGAUGGCUGGGAAAAGAUUUUAUGGUGAUGGAACAGAGCAAGACGACAAUGCACGGCGAGUGAGACAGCUUAUUGACGAGGUGGUAUCCUACGCCGGCGCCGGGAAUGCUACCGAUUAUAUCCCAAUCUUGCGUUGGAUCACAAGUUUUGAGAAACGGGUCAAGAACUUAGCGGGUCGGGUCGAUGAGUUCUUGCAGAGCCUGGUGGAUGAAAAACGUGCGGAUAAAGAAAAGGGCGACACUAUGAUGGAUCACUUGCUUUCUCUCCAAGAAAUCCAGCCUAAUUAUUACACAGAUAUCACUCUAAAGGGGAUUAUAGUUGUAAGUAUUUAUUUUCUACAUUUAUUAAUCUUGAAUAAUCUAUUUAAUAUAUAACAACACAAACUAAACAUUUGUUAAUUUAAUUUUUACAGGUUAUGAUACUUGCCGGAACUGAAACACUAACAGGAACAUUAGAAUGGGCUAUGUUGAAUUUGUUGAAUCAUCCAGAGGUAUUAACGAAAGUAAGAACCGAAAUCGAUACCAAAAUCGGUUUUGACCGGUUAAUAGAUGAACAAGAUAUUAAAAAGCUCCCUUAUCUCGAAGGGAUUGUGUUGGAGACCUUACGUCUCCACCCUGUAGCUCCUACACUUGUUCCACAUAUGACGUCAGAUGAUUGCAUGUUGGCCGGAUACGAUGUUCCAAGUGGAUCCAUGCUAUUGGUGAACGUAUGGGCCAUGCAUAGAGACCCGUCUCUAUGGGAAGAUCCAGAAAUGUUCAAGCCAGAGAGGUUCGAAAAUGAAAAUGAAAAUCAAAAGGUGUUGUCGUUUGGGAUUGGACGACGAUCAUGUCCCGGGGUUGGAUUAACUCAUCGGCUAGUGAGCUUGGCUCUUGGAUCGAUGGUUCAAUGUUUCGAAUGGGAGAGAAUUGGAGAAGAAUAUAUUGACACUAGAGAGGCACCUAUGAUGCGUCCAACUACCCCGUUGCAAGCCAUGUGUAAAACUUGUCCCAUUGUCCAUAAGAUUCUCGAUGCUUAUGCUUGAAUUGUAACUCUUCUUGGUUUGAUUUAUGUUCGGAAAUACUACAUCAACUUGUUUUGAGUUGGGAAAUAAUUCAAAAUCCUUCUAAGAACGCUCUCAUGCAAACUGUUGAAUGUAUCUUCAAGGUUCUGAUCACCAUCUAGCUGAGUCUUUACGGAAAAUUAGAUCGUCACUAAAUAUUAUCAUUUUACCUUCGAAUAUAUUGAUUUUGUUGCCCUGAUGAUACACUUGAAAUAAAUAAAAAACAACCAUAGAGACACUCAAAUAAAAAAAAAGCUCAUAGCUUUAAAAUUUCUUGUAUAUUUUGAAACUAAAAUUAAGCUAUAUUACUUAUACUGAUAUUCCAUUUCUUCACAGUAUGAUCUAAUGAUUUUUGCAAUCCUCUAUGCUUUUGUUGUUGCAAUUAUACUUAUAUCUCCAUUUCAUUACAGUAUGAUAUAUAUAUAUAUAUAUAUAUUGUAAGUUUUGCAAUCCUCUACAUAUCAUUCUUCCCACAGCUCUAUCUGAAAAUUCCAUAUAUAUGUUCAACUUAUCUCUCUUCGUGUGUUGUGAAUUGUGUAUUAGAUUUGAGUAUUACAUUUGUACUUUUACAAUUCUUUUUUUUUUUUAUAAUCUUGAAGUGCUCUAGGAAUUAUAAUUAUUAUAUCAUGUUGGAUUUUUAAGAAUUUUGGUUUUUAUGAUAUUUUGUAAAAAAUUAGAGAGUGAUGUGUUUCUAGGGACAAAAGACGAAGACUUGAAAAAUCAACCCUCGUCUUUUUCCUCAUCGUCCCAUUAGAAAUCUCAGUUUUCUCUUCAAUCUUAUCUUCUUCCUCAGAAUCCUCUUCACAUCGACCACAGGUUUCUUCAUCCAUCGACUUAUUGAAAUUUCUUGUAGUAUAAGUUAAACCAAAAUGUGUGGAAACUAUUCAACACAAAAGACUUUUCACUCUCUUCUUUCAACGUGAAUAACACUUCGUACGAAGGACUAAAUGGUGAGCCAAGCGAAGCUGAGUGGAUAUGGAGCACUGACUAUAUGUAUUUAAAGAGAUGGCAUGAAAACAAUUUAACCAUCACAAUUUCCAUUUGCUCGCUUCUUUUUCACUAUUGAUUUUCAAGAAAGUUAAAAAUUAGCUUAAAGAAAAAACGAAAGGCUCUUGAAACUCAAUGAGUACCAUUCAUAUUUCUCUUUCUUUUCUCCUCUUGUUCGUUUUUAGUUUUCAUGACGUGUUUGCUGCUCCUACUAGACACUUGUGUCGUCCGGAGCAAAGGGAUGCACUUCUCGAGUUCAAGAAUGAGUUUGAGAUUCGGAAGCCUUCUUUUGAGUGUUAUGUUAAUGGUAGCUAUGUGCGCCCUUACCCGAAGACGGAGUCAUGGGCAAAUAACACUGAUUGUUGUUAUUGGGAUGGGAUCAAGUGCGAUGCCAAAUCUGGGGAAGUGAUCGAGCUAGACCUCAGUUGCAGCUGUCUCUACGGCAAGUUUCGUUCCAAUACCAGUCUGUUUAGGCUUCACAGCUUUCGUUUUCUCACCACUUUAUACGUUUCAUAUAAUGAGUUACAUGGUCAAAUCCCGUUCUCAAUUGGAAAUCUUUCUCUUCUUACUUCUCUCGACCUUUCUUCCAAUGGGUUUUCGGGUCAGAUUCCAUCUUCAAUUGGAAAUCUAUCACUGCUUACCUUUCUGAGACUUUCUGAUAAUCAGUUUUCGGGUCAGAUUCCAUCUUCAAUUGGAAAUCUUUCACAGAUUACCACUCUCCGUUUUUCCUUUAAUCAGUUUUCGGGUCAGAUUCCGUCUUCAAUUGGAAAUCUUUCAC
RNAcentral lists this long non-coding RNA (50081 nucleotides) under Eutrema salsugineum. Its description in RNAcentral is "long non-coding RNA (ESAL_LNC001442)". Lineage: Eukaryota; Viridiplantae; Streptophyta; Magnoliopsida; Brassicales; Brassicaceae. The record is from RNAcentral.